CCACAAGUAGUGCAUGAGCAGUUGGGUCCACAGUUGCACUUUCCUCCGGUCUCACCGCCUUCCAUGAUCUCAGCAGUCUCGUAGUAACUGUGAUAUCAUCAAACUUAGUAUCAAACAAAUGAUUUUCUCAUAUGAAACUUUUUUUUACAAGUUAUUUAGUGACUGUGAUAAACUAGGCUAAUCGAGUCGUGUGUAUCUCUCAUACGAAGCAAACUAACACUCUACAUACCUGUUCUCAGUCACAACAUCGAAUCCAUAGCUGCUUCCCUUCUUGCUGCAGUCAUGAUAGCACAUACAUCAGAAGAGUAGAAAAGAUGAUAGAAAUUUUAACACUGAAAUUAAAAAAGAGGAACUUACGGGCAGUUGGUCUUGUCAGCACAGCUGCAGGUGUCACAGGAAGACAUGGUGAUGAUCGAGUGAUGAAGAUAUAUGAUCUGAAGAAGAAGAUAGCAAGGUCUAGUAAAAAUGCUUGUGUGUGUUGUGAAUGAAAAACAAGCAUUUUGAUGUGUAUUUAUAGAAGGUUGUGAGAGGAUGGGGUUUGUUGUAAUAAGUGAUAAAAAAAAGGAAGAUAGUUAAGGGGUUGUUAAGAAGUAGUUUUUCCUAAUUUACCCUUCAUUAAUUAAUACCCGUUGGUAUAACCCAAACCCGAUAACCCGACGGAAACAGAAGAUUCUGCUCCUAAUUACCCGUUUUGUAAUUUUUUUAUAUUUAAACCCUAGGUUAGUACUGCAAUUAUCCCCAACCGCUGUCACUCACCAAGAUCGUAAGUGGACAGCUUCUCCGGCAAGUCUCUUGGGUGGAGCUUCCUCCGUAUCAGAGGAUGAUAGUUAUGGAAAAUAAUUUUUCAUUUUCAUUUCUUUUUCCACCCUUCAGUAUAAAGAUCCACCCUUCCUCUUCAGUCACAUCGACAUGAGAACCAUCCAUGGAGAAUUUCCCUCUUUUCGCAGCAUUUGUUAUUUCCUUAAGUAUACUCCCGUGGAUCCUUUUCUGCGAAAAAUCCCUCUAAAGACUUCUUCACUUUUGAUUCCGGAAUCAGAGCCGCCACGGACUUCCGCACCUUCAGAGCCGCUGCCGGAGUCGGAGAUUGAUUACUACUCCUCCUCAUCAAAAAAUUCAUCUUUCCUCCCACAAAAAAUUCUCUUUCCAAAAAACGUUAGCAAAAAUAGGCAGUAGAUCAAAACAGUCUUCAAAUCCCUGAUGAAAUGAGGGAGAAUAUGGUGAACGGUGUGGGUUGAAGGAGGGAGGGGGGAGGACGAUGAAUAGUUUUUCUCCCCAAAAUAAUCUACCCAUUUUUAAUGAUAAUGGCACAUCUUUGAAAAUUGAAAUUAAUUACAAGGGUAAAAUGGUCAAAAAAAAUAUAGGUGGUUAUUUUUAAUUCCAAAACAAUCUCCAUAUAUUUAACAAUUUUCCAAAAGAAUGAAUGAAUGAAUUAUUGAAGUAAAAUUGUAAAUUGAUAGCGAUAAAAUAAACAAAUAAAUAAAUAUAAGAUAUAGAGUUAUAGUCAUGUAUAAAUGAUUGAUGUAAACUCUAAAGGAAUCUUUCAUAUUCAAUAUUAUUAUCAUCUUAUGUCACGAGUGACCUCUUUGUAGUUUGUACAUUUACUCUUCUCUCUCCCACACACAAUUCUCAUCUCACAACAUUUUUUACCCUGACUUUAAAACAUUUACUCUGUAUUUAACUUCAAGACAAGCAUAAGCAUCAAUCUUAUCACAUCCAUCGAAAGAUCUCACUAAAUCUCAUCUUACACGAAAGGUCAAAUUCAAACAUCACAUAAAGAUAGAAGACAGUCCUUAUCUUAACAUCAAAAUCAAUGUAGCAUUUUGGUUCCUCCACUUGUUUUCUACACCGCAAAAGUUGCAUUCAAAUAAUGCAUAGAGAACAAAACAAUAAUAUCAAAUAUCAAUGUAGAAAGAUUCCAACGUCAAAACUAGUCUGUAGCUACUAUGGAGUAUAACAUAGGCAUACUAUGCUGAAUAAAUCAUACAAUAUUAAUUAAUUGGACUCCAAUACCAGAUUGGAAAUUUAUACAGCCCAUGGACUAGAGCUAAGAUAGGCAAAAAGCCCAAUCCAUAAACUAGCCAGUAGUCAACAAAGAAAUGGAAGGUCCUCUUAACAUCAAGAUCGAUAUAGACUUUUGGUUCUUCCACUUCUUUUCUACACCACACAAGUUGCAUUCAAAUAAUGCAUAGCCAAAACAAUAAUGUCAAUGUAGAAAGAUUCCAAUGCCAAAACUAGUCUGUAGCCAUUGUGGAGUAUAUCAUAGGCAUACUAUGCUGAAUAAACCAUACAACAUUAAUGAUUUGGACUCCAAUGGCAGAUUGGAUAUUUAUGCAGCCCAUGGACUAGAGCUAAGACAUGCAGAAAGCUCAAUCCAUGGAAUUUACAACAAAAUACAACCUCGAAAGUCAAAAAAUUUAAAACUUUCUAGAGCUAAAUCCAAUGCCCCAAAACUAGCUAGUAGUCAAUGUUGGACAGGAUAAUUAAUUGGGGAAAUUAAUACAGUUCAUGGGCAAGAGCUGAGACAUGUAGAAACCCCAAUCUAUAACAAAAUAUAGCCUCAAAGAUGUUUGAACUUUUUUUUUUUUGAACAAUAUGUUUUAUAUAUUAAAAAAUUAAGGUUUACAUAAGUUUAACACAAAAAGAAAAAAUAAUUAAUUUAAAUAUAAUCUUACUUAUUCUCUGGCAGUUAAUCAAUCUUAACUUUCUUUUUUCACCCUGUUGUGGAUCAACAACCGAAGAAUAUCUCAUUGGUGCAAUGCCCUCUUUUCCGCGUUCCUCUUGUGUGGCUUUUUGAAUUUGUUUUUUUUAAACCGAUUUCCGUCGAUUUGAUGCAUUCCAUUAUGAUCCUUUCAUGAGUUUCCUCCGUGGUGAUGUUGGUUUCACUCCUUCCAUAUAUUAAACAGUAUGAAACCAAGCAUUGUUUAAUGCAAUCCCCAACACUUUGAUCCAUGAGUGAUUUUCUCAAUUUUAUAAGCCAUGGUUUCGAAAUCCCCAAUGUCUUAUGUGUGUUCACCAAUCCACCGGUUACAUCAAAGCCCUCUUUUAGCAUCCACCUCGCAAACUUGCAUUUGAAAAAAACAUGAGAUAUUGUCUCAAGUUCUUCACCACAUAAUACACAUUCUUUUGCCACAUUCAUUCCUCUACGUCUUAGUCUAUCCAUUGUUGCUAUGUUGUCCUCCAUAUUCUUUACAUGUUUAAGGAGAUUUUGUGUACAUAUGAUGACCAUAUACCAAUGCUAGAUCAUCCUUCGGGUUUGUCUCCCUUAGUGUAUCCACUACAUUUGCUAAUGAUAGUCAAUUACCAUUCCUUUUCCACUGAAUUGUUUAGUUUAGUGUACAAUCCACACAUUUGUUUAUGUUUUCACGUUGUCGCAAGACCUCCCUCCACGUGGCUGAAUCAUUAUAACGUCUCGAGAUAUUAUUCAAGGCUUCUCCUUUAAUAUACCUUUUUUCAUCCAAUGCCCCCAUAUGCCAUCGUCCGUCCACAACCUGCAUAGUUUGUCCACUGUUGCGGCCACUUGAGUGGUUUGGAAGUCCUUUACCCCCAUGCCACCUUGGGAUCGAGGUUUAAUUAUCAUUGAUCAAAGGACUUCCUUCUGUGUCCCCCAUACGAACCUGUAAACUAAAGACUUUAUUGUUUGGAUUGUAACCAGCGGUACUGUACUAGUUUGCAUCAAAUAUUCAAAUUUUCUUUGGAAAAUUCAAUUCAUUAAUUGUACUCUUCCCAUGUACGAUAGUUUCUUUUUGGUCCAUCUUGUUAGAAUGUCAUUUAGAUCCGUUAUCAAAGGAUCACAAUUCCCGUUUGAGAUGAACUUUUUGGUGAGUGGUACUCCUAGGUAUUUUAGUGACAACUGCUUUUGUUGAAAUUUUAGUAUGGCAGCUAGAGUCGCCCCAUCUCUUACCCUCUUCGAGAAAACCAUCGAGCUUUUUUCCUCAUUUAUUUGGAGCCUCGAGAAAGAUGAGAAUUCCUCUAGUAUGCCAUUUAAUUUGGUUAAGGUUUUUGUCAAUGCUUGAUAGAAGAAAACGACAUCGUCUGCAAAGGCUAAAUGGCUUUCUAUUAGUAUACCUCCCGAAGUGUAUAAUUCCAAUUUCCGAUCAGCUACUGCUAGUGAUACCAGCAACUAUGGAGUAUAACAUAGGCAUACUAUGCUGAAUAAAUCAUACAAUAUUAAUUAAUUGGACUCCAAUACCAGAUUGGAAAUUUAUGCAGCCCAUGGACUAGAGCUAAGACCGGCAAAAAGCCCAAUCCAUAGAUUUACAACUUUCUAGGGCUAAUUUCAAAGCAUACACUAGCCAGUAGUCAACAAAGAAAUGAAAGGUCCUCUUAACAUCAAGAUCGAUAUAGACUUUUGGUUCUUCCACUUCUUUUCUACACCACACAAGUUGCAUUCAAAUAAUGCAUAGCCAAAACAAUAAUGUCAAUGUAGAAAGAUUCCAAUGCCAAAACUAGUCUGUAGCCAUUGUGGAGUAUAUCAUAGGCAUACUAUGCUGAAUAAACCAUACAACAUUAAUGAUUUGGACUCCAAUGGCAGAUUGGAUAUUUAUGCAGCCCAUGGACUAGAGCUAAGACAUGCAGAAAGCUCAAUCCAUGGAAUUUACAACAAAAUACAACCUCGAAAGUCAAAAAAUUUAAAACUUUCUAGAGCUAAAUCCAAUGCCCCAAAACUAGCUAGUAGUCAAUGUUGGACAGGAUAAUUAAUUGGGGAAAUUAAUACAGUUCAUGGGCAAGAGCUGAGACAUGUAGAAACCCCAAUCUAUAACAAAAUAUAGCCUCAAAGAUGUUUGAACUUUUUUUUUUUUGAAUAAUAUGUUUUAUAUAUUAAAAAAUUAAGGUUUACAUAAGUUUAACACAAAAAGAAAAAAUAAUUAAUUUAAAUAUAAUCUUACUUAUUCUCUGGCAGUUAAUCAAUCUUAACUUUCUUUUUUCACCCUGUUGUGGAUCAACAACCGAAGAAUAUCUCAUUGGUGCAAUGCCCUCUUUUCCGCGUUCCUCUUGUGUGGCUUUUUGAAUUUGUUUUUUUUAAACCGAUUUCCGUCGAUCUGAUGCAUUCCAUUAUGAUCCUUUCAUGAGUUUCCUCCGUGGUGAUGUUGGUUUCACUCCUUCCAUAUAUUAAACAGUAUGAAACCAAGCAUUGUUUAAUGCAAUCCCCAACACUUUGAUCCAUGAGUGAUUUUCUCAAUUUUAUAAGCCAUGGUUUCGAAAUCCCCAAUGUCUUAUGUGUGUUCACCAAUCCACCGGUUACAUCAAAGCCCUCUUUUAGCAUCCACCUCGCAAACUUGCAUUUGAAAAAAACAUGAGAUAUUGUCUCAAGUUCUUCACCACAUAAUACACAUUCUUUUGCCACAUUCAUUCCUCUACGUCUUAGUCUAUCCAUUGUUGCUAUGUUGUCCUCCAUAUUCUUUACAUGUUUAAGGAGAUUUUGUGUACAUAUGAUGACCAUAUACCAAUGCUAGAUCAUCCUUCGGGUUUGUCUCCCUUAGUGUAUCCACUACAUUUGCUAAUGAUAGUCAAUUACCAUUCCUUUUCCACUGAAUUGUUUAGUUUAGUGUACAAUCCACACAUUUGUUUAUGUUUUCACGUUGUCGCAAGACCUCCCUCCACGUGGCUGAAUCAUUAUAACGUCUCGAGAUAUUAUUCAAGGCUUCUCCUUUAAUAUACCUUUUUUCAUCCAAUGCCCCCAUAUGCCAUCGUCCGUCCACAACCUGCAUAGUUUGUCCACUGUUGCGGCCACUUGAGUGGUUUGGAAGUCCUUUACCCCCAUGCCACCUUGGGAUCGAGGUUUAAUUAUCAUUGAUCAAAGGACUUCCUUCUGUGUCCCCCAUACGAACCUGUAAACUAAAGACUUUAUUGUUUGGAUUGUAACCAGCGGUACUGUACUAGUUUGCAUCAAAUAUUCAAAUUUUCUUUGGAAAAUUCAAUUCAUUAAUUGUACUCUUCCCAUGUACGAUAGUUUCUUUUUGGUCCAUCUUGUUAGAAUGUCAUUUAGAUCCGUUAUCAAAGGAUCACAAUUCCCGUUUGAGAUGAACUUUUUGGUGAGUGGUACUCCUAGGUAUUUUAGUGACAACUGCUUUUGUUGAAAUUUUAGUAUGGCAGCUAGAGUCGCCCCAUCUCUUACCCUCUUCGAGAAAACCAUCGAGCUUUUUUCCUCAUUUAUUUGGAGCCUCGAGAAAGAUGAGAAUUCCUCUAGUAUGCCAUUUAAUUUGGUUAAGGUUUUUGUCAAUGCUUGAUAGAAGAAAACGACAUCGUCUGCAAAGGCUAAAUGGCUUUCUAUUAGUAUACCUCCCGAAGUGUAUAAUUCCAAUUUCCGAUCAGCUACUGCUAGUGAUACCAGCAACUAUGGAGUAUAACAUAGGCAUACUAUGCUGAAUAAAUCAUACAAUAUUAAUUAAUUGGACUCCAAUACCAGAUUGGAAAUUUAUGCAGCCCAUGGACUAGAGCUAAGACCGGCAAAAAGCCCAAUCCAUAGAUUUACAACUUUCUAGGGCUAAUUUCAAAGCAUACACUAGCCAGUAGUCAACAAAGAAAUGAAAGGUCCUCUUAACAUCAAGAUCGAUAUAGACUUUUGGUUCUUCCACUUCUUUUCUACACCACACAAGUUGCAUUCAAAUAAUGCAUAGCCAAAACAAUAAUGUCAAUGUAGAAAUAUUCCAAUGCCAAAACUAGUCUGUAACCAUUGUGGAGUAUAUCAUAGGCAUACUAUGCUGAAUAAACGAUACAACAUUAAUGAUUUUGACUCCAAUGGCAGAUUGGAAAUUUAUGCAGCCCAUGGACUAGAGCUAAGACAUGCAGAAAGCUCAAUCCAUGGAAUUUACAACAAAAUAUAACCUCAAAAGUCAAAAAAUUUAAAACUUUCUAGAGCUAAUUCCAAUGCCCCAAAACUAGCUAGUAGUCAAUGUUGACAGGAUAAUUAAUUAGGCUUCAAAUGGAAAUUACUACAGUUCAUGGGCAAGAGCUGAGACAAGUAGAAACCCCAAUUCAUAGAAUUCAAUACAUAACAAAACAUAGCCUCAAAGAUGUUUGAACUUUGAAUUUGAAAGAUUGACUAAAAUCAAGAAAUUUGCAGCAUAGACAUACUCCGAUGACAUCAUAGAACAUUAUUUAAUUGGGCUCCAAUGCCAGAUGGGGGAUUACUCCAGUCCAUGGGCUACAGCUGAAAAAAGCAGAAAGCUCAAUUCAUAUGAUAAAAUUUAUAACAAAAUAUAGCCACCAAAGUUGUAAGAAUAGCUAUGAAAAAUUACCCAGUUCUUAAUUAAGAACCACAAAUGCUUCAAGAUCCGAAUUCACGAAAACAAAAAUAAUUACAAUAGAUAUAAGCUCUUGAUUUCAAUGAUUAUAAUAAUAAUAUUCAACUCAGGUUUCAUACCUUAUGGAAAUACAACAAUAGAAGAAGAAAAAAGUAACAAGAAGAAGAAAUAUUUUUGAAAACGAUCAUUUAAGCAAAAAAAACGAAUCAAACCAGAGUUUCAAAAUCGGAGCUUUGAAAAAAACCACUUGUUCUUGCCACUUUUAAACCGUUCUUCCAUUCUGCUCUUCGUUUCCUUCAGAGCCACGACUUUACUGUCAUUGGAUUUGAAUACAUCCGUGCUUACCACCUCCUUGAGAUCGAUAUCGACCGUGUAUCGUGUAGGCAUAAUAUGAUUGUAAUUGACAACUUUGAUGAAUGCCUUAACUCUCGACUUCUUUGCGGUCUUCUUUGCUGAGUCCUUGCGGAUUACUUUCUUCGGAUACGAAGCAAUGCCGGCUACAAGACAGUGACCAUAUUGACGGUCUCUAGUUCCUUCGUCGAAGUUCCGAACGAUGACUGCUUUCUUUCCUGCGAAGCGGCCUUGCAAGACGACGACCGCCUUGUUCGGUUUCAAAAAUUUCACCAUUGAAGAUUCGAAAAGAGAGGAGGGUACUGUUCCUGAAAGGUCGGCGGACCGUAUUCCAAUUUAGGGUUUAUUCUGCUAAAAAUUAUGAAAAAAAUAUAUAUACAUAUAAUGGGCUUGGGCCUAAUAACAAAAAAAAUAGAUUCAGUUAAUAGAAUUCAUACCCUGAUGAACCCAUGGAGCUUUCAAAAAAAAUAAUGAAAAUUCAGGGUUUAGAGUUUAAACUAUAUUAUUUGGCUCUAUUAUAUCACUCAAAAAAUAGGUUUUUCUACUUAUAGAAAAACACCUCCAGUUAUCAAAAAAAAAAAAAAAAAAAAAAAAAAAGAAAAAGAUAGAUGACUUUUAAAAAUAACUAGACGAAGAUAUUUUUAUUUCCAAACCAUUUAAUGGAGUCAUAUCUGAAAAUAGUUCUAUAAACCAUUAAAACAAAGAUUAAUAUGUUCAACCAAUAUUGACGCAUAUUAUACUCUUUUUCGAUCAUUCUUUGCAAAACAAUUGCUUCUUUGUCCUCCCUAGUGCACUCUUUUGCUUCUUGUUUUUUUGAAAAAUCAAGCAGAAAAAAUGAAAAAAUAACAUCAUCUUCAAAACAGUGCCGAAUUCUGUAGCUCUAGAAGAAAAUAUAGAGAUAGAAGAUAUCUUAUUCUUUUAACAAUUUAAUUUAAAGAAAGUUAUGAUAUUCUCUGUAAAUUACGAAUGAUCUAUAAGUGCAUAACAUUAACACAUUAAAAUCUGUGUAAAUUACAUAUCUGAUGGAAACUUGACAAAAUUAUUUUCAUAAUCAUCAACUAAAAUAGAAUGAUAUUCAUUCCAUUUGAUGCAAAUGGAUUGAUUAAAUCAAAACAACUAAAACAUAGAAGAAGAAAUCAUUACUUUAUAUUAAAGUUGAUUACUAAUAUGUUUGGUUGGUUGUCAACACGAUUUCUUCAUAUUUAAACAAUUGUCUGCGGCUAGUUCGAACAAUUCUUGCAAAAAAUUUCGCUCUUCUUCUGUAAAAAAACAGUAAAAAUUUGCAUAAGAUAGAUAUAUGUUAUGGUUGAAUGCUUGAAUCAGUGUGAAAAAAAUUUACCAGCAGCUUCAAGCUGUCUUUGCAAUUCUUCCCCUAAAGCUUCAUUUUCCGCCUAAAAUGGAUUUUUUUUUUGAAUUCAUCAAAUAAUUAAUUAAAAGAGAAACACAGCGAAGAAUACUAACUAACCUCAAGUUGGGCAAUUUUUUCAAAUUGCGCUUUUUCAUCGGACAAAGGCAGUGCAGCAACAAGGAAAUCAAACUGCAAGGAAAAACAAAACAAAAAUAUGUUAAGCAGGUUUCCUGAUAUACUUGGAAAAAGUUGAAAAUUGAAAUGAAAUGACUUACAGUCUUUGCAGACUGAACUAGAGCAGUACUCAUAUUCAUAGUUUGUUCCGUAAGAUCAGGUGGUUGUUCUGUGGGAUUGGUCGAGGAAGGUGCUGGUUCGGGAUAAUUGGACGAAAGCCGCAUCGGAGGGGCAUCUCGUUGCAGGGUGCCGAAAGUAUUGAAGGCGAUAGAAGCAAUAGUAUUGACUUGAUCCUGUAGCUGUGUGAUGAUAUCCAUGAUGCAAUGCAAGAGUUGAUAGAGGAGGACGCAGAUCAAGAAAAACGAAGGAGGAGAGUUGACGAUCUGUCGACUUCUCGGAGAUUGAAAUUAGGUUAUUAGGAAUUGGAAAGAUUGACCGAUUGGGCUAUUUGGCAAAUUAGGUUAGUUUCGGCCGAUCCAAGUCACCACUGGAUCCAAUUACAGCUCUAAAAUAAAACUGACCGGUCCCGGUUAUAUAUCUUGACUACCUGAUAAAUGAUCGUUAUAAAUCUUAUUCGAUCAAUAUCAACAGUGGCUGAUCCAUGAAUUUUGUGAUGAAGGGGCACCUUUUUCCGACGAUAGCGUGGAAAAAAAUUGUAAUUCGCUGAAGGCGAAUAUUUUUUUUACUAUUAGUUACAAAAUUUGACAUGAUGCAUCUACAAUAGUUAUUAAAAAAUAACCCGAUUGCCUUUGUGGAUCUCUAUCCAAACUUACAUUUUAAUCACAUGAUUGCAUUUCGUAAUCCAAACGUGCAAUUUAAAUAAAAAUGAAGCACAAUACUCAAGCAAUUAGUUAAAGCAGAAGCGACUAAAGGCAGAUUUUUUUUAAAGAACUUCAAAUUAAUCAAAAAAAAUGAAAGUAAAAAAAAAACUACGACAGCUAGAGCUAGUAUCUAAUAUCUAUAUUUAUAUAACUUUAUUCUUAGCAUUUCUUUUUUUAUCUAUUCAUAGUUUUAUUCGUAGAAAUUUGUGCCACAAUCCCAAAACGCUUUUUUUCCUUAGUUAAUUUCUUUAGUUUUUUUCAAGAUUGAAUUCAUAUUGACAAUGAUUCAUUGAACAAAUAUAAUUCGAUCAUGGAUAAACAGAUUUCUGAAUGAUCUAUUUCUGUUCCAAACCAAAAGAAAAUAAGAAGAAAAUACACCUUACCGAUCUGACGCAGUGGUCGAUUUGAUUUAUCCAGCGGUGUGUCUAGCCGUAUAAGAUGGAAGUGCCGAAGUGGAGAUCGAUCUGUGAAGGAGACGGAUUUAGCAAAGAAUGGGAGUGAAGAUCGGUUUGAAGGAUAGGAAUUAGGGAUUUAGAGUAAGAUGGGGGAUUUGGCUUUAAGGUUUUUUUUUUUGGAAAAUUUAUUUUAUAAUUCAAAAGUUUUUAUAAUAUAUUAUGUAUUCUGUAAGUGUCCCUUAACAAUUAACAUAUAAGAAAAUUAUACAUAAGUUUUUUUCUUCCAAAAAUCAAGAAAGGACAAAUGCCCCACUGUCCCCUUUCUCUGGACCCGCGCCUCUGAUUAGGGAUUGGAAGGAUUGACCAAUUGGGCUAUUUGACAUGUUGCGUUGGGAUUGGCCAAUCCAAAGUCACCACUGGACUGUCAAACGAGCCCAGUCGAACCGGGCUCAAGCUCGGUUGUUUAAAGAGUUAUCCAGGCUUGGGCUCGAGCUCGCCGAGCCUGGCUUGGCCGAGCUCAAAGCUCACGAGCCCAUGCUCGAGCUUGCAAAGUCAGGCUCGGGCUCGAAGCUCGUAAGUCCAGAUUCGAGUUUGCAAAGUCGAACUCGAGCUCGAAGCUCAUGAUCAAGUCCAGACUCAAGUUUGCAAAAUCGGAUUCGAACUUGAAUUUUAACAUGAAAUUAUAGGUUAAAAUAAAUAUUUUGAAAAAAUGGGUUUAUCGAAUCCACAACUUCACUCAUGCUAAACAAGUACUUUAUCACCUAAGUUGUAUUCUCAUUUUCUCCAAAUAUAUUAUUUUUUUAUUAUUAUACUCCUUUUAUCAAGCCCACCGAGCUGGAGCUUGGACAUCGGCUCGUUGGGCUCGCGAACCCGAGCAUAACGAGCCAAAUUUUAUUUGACACCAUAACUGGACCCAAUCACAAUUCUAAAAUUAAAAUACAACCAUUAUAAUAAUUGGUCACAAACACUAUUAAGAUUAUUGAAGGUUCAGAAUUUAAGUCUCAACGUACAUAUUUUAAUUUUUAUUUAUAACAAAUACCUUAUAAAAAAAACUCGAAAAUUAAAUUUGAUUGGUCCCCCAUUAUAUAUCCCGAACCACCUAAUAAAUAAAUCGUUAUAAAUCUUAUCCGGUCGAUAUCAUUAUGCUGCAAUGUGGGCGCAACGUCCCUUUCCAUAUUAAAUAUUCGAAUCAAACCGGUUGAUAAACUCAUAGUGACGGAUAGGGAUAAACAAACAACUCAUGAUAACUAUUAAAGUUUUUGAAGAUCCAAAAUUAUAAUUUCGUUUUGUACGUAAUUUUUAUUUAAUUAUACGAUACUAAUAGUCUAAUAUAUCGUUUUGAGAUAAAAAAGAAUCUCAAUCGGGUUUAAGGGUGUCCGAACUUGAAACGAGAUCGAAAAAAUCUCAGUCAUAUAAUAUAUCAGUACUUUUUUUUAAAAAACAAUUAAAUCUCAUUAAAAAAUAAGGUUAAUGUCCAGUUUACAAGAAUAAAGUGUAGAAAUAACAACAGAAGUAAAAAGAAAUUAAAUUGACCCUCUCCCAUUAGCUAUGUAGUCUAGUUAUACAGUAACUAGAUACGCUGCCUCAGGAGGUUGAUUUUUCAUACUUCCAUCAUAGAUGUUUUCAAAGUGUGACAAUAUCUUUUCUUGUAAUACUCUGAAUCAAAUGAGAGACUAAUGUCUUUAAUGACCUCCUUAAAGACUACCUCAGGAGGUCUCUUAACGUGUUGUCUAUAUCUUUUAUUUUUUUCCGUCCAUAUAUGUCACGACAAACACCCAAUAACAUUUCAUAGUAGUCCCUAAGGGAGAAAGUGGUACGUAAUUUUUUGCAUAGCCUCCGUCAGGUCUCCCAAUCUAAUAUCUGGAUUGAAUUGGGUGGGAACUGAAAUAUUCAUUAUUUUUCGUAAAUACAGAUGCUGAAUUUAUACCAUUAAGAAUAUAUGAAUUUGAUAAAAAGAUAGGGAUAUCUUGACAAUACAACCCAAAACGACAGUGAAAAGAAAGUAGAAAACCAACUUCCAACUUCUAAUCUAUUUUGAUUUUUGAUCCAGAUUUUCGUCGGAGGACAGCGGAAAUGGAGGAACCUUUCAUCGUCGAAGAAUCCAACUUAGUUCGUGUUCAAGGAAGUGAUAGUGUUGAGAAAGGUGAAGGUUCUGGUAGUAAAUUCAACUAUCUGAGACGGAAGUUGCUGAAGAGCAGGUCGGAGGCGAUCACGUCUGGUUCUAAGUAUCAGAGAGCCGCUGCGCUGGUUGAUUUGGUAAAAAUAUCGAUGUACCAUCUAACACUAGGAGUCUAGGAUUAUGAUAGUGUUCUUUUGGGCUUGAAUAGUGUGGGAUUCCAUGUUGUUGUUGUUGUUUGAUAUUGCUUGUUGACUUAUCUUUUAGUUUGGGUUAUGAUUUAGUCUGUGAUUGUGAAUGCUAUAUUGGGGGUAGAUUUCAAUUUGGUUGCGCUGUUUCAGAUGAGAUCUAAGUUUGACUAAAUGAAGUUCAGUUUAUAAAAGAAUAAUUAUUCUGCAUAGAAAGCGACAAAAAACUGGUAAUGAAUUCCAAAUACCAGGGUAAUAUUGACUAUUCCCUAAAGAAAUAUUUAGGAAUGUUUAUGUUUAUGUUCCCCCCCAAAUCAAAUGUAGUCAUGUAGUGUAGAUAUAGUGAUAGUGUUUCAUAUUGGCAUUUUUUUUUUUGCUCCGGAGAUGCCUGACUGUGGUGGCAUACUGGCAUGUCUAAUUCAGAUAAUUAUUCUUUUGAUAAAAAACCCUUCUUAAAUUCCAACAACAUACAUAUGAAUUUCUCCAGACAUACCUUUUGCAUAUUACCUUGCUUGAUAUAAUAAAUUAAUAAUAUUGAAUAUUUAUGAACUACAGUCAUUUCUGCACUAGAAACCUUAAUUAUGGAUUUUUUUAUGAAUAGGUAAUAAUACAUUGCUUACUGUUCCUGUAUUUAGUUGUUGAUGUGUUCAUGACUUCAUGUACAUGUUCUUCAGGCUGAAGAUGGCGUUGGAUUGCCUGAAGAAGUUCUCGAUGACCCAAGAUUUGAAAAGGCGGCAAAAUACUACUUCAUUUAUUGUAAAUUUGACCUGUUAUGGUCUCUUAAUCUUUUUGUCAUGCUGGUGCUUAAUUUUCUUGAGGUUUGUUUCGUUACACCAAAGUGAAUUAUAAAUUAAUCAACUAUCAUAUAAACACGAUAGUCUUCAAUCAAUCCCAUAUUCUGCACUGAGGAAACUAGCAAAGUACAUGUGAAAUUGUCAUUGGUACAUAUGGUCAUGUCAUGUCUCCAAUCCUCAUAUUUAUUUAUUGAAUCUACACACAAGAUAAUUAUUCCAUUUGAUGCCUUCUCCAUCAUUUUUCCCCAUCUUAUUGAUUUAAGAUACUUUUUGAAUGAUAUUUUCAGAAGCCAUUAUGGUGUGCCAGAUCAGUCCAUUCUUGCCAAGACAGAGUUUACUAUUUCCUGGGAGAAUUACCUUACCUAACCAGUGGUGAAUCACUUGUUUACGAGGUCAUUAUUUUUAUCUUUUUCUAUCAAUUUUUUUUGUCAUAGGGUAAUUUAUAUAUAUAUAUAUAGGAUCCGUUUUUGGAACGGUACCUGUUCCGUGCGGACACCACAUCUCGCCAUCCACUUACCUAGGCGAAGCUCCAACGUUCGUCGCUUAUGUCAGAAAACGGUUGUCCGAUGAGACGUCGUCCUAUACCGUGGAAUUGAAUCUCCUGUAGCUCAACCUUACCGUGAAGAUGGAACCGUGGAAUCGCGAUGCGUGAGUUCCGUGGUUCCGUGCUGACGAUUCCGUGCAUCACGAUCAUGGAACUCACGCAUCGCGAUUCCGCGGUUUCGUCAUUACGGAAUCGCGAUGCGUGAGUUAUGCGGUUCCGUGCUGACGAUUCCGUGUAUCGCGAUCAUGGAACUCACGCAUCGCGAUUCCGUCAUCACGGAAUCGCGAUGUGUGAGUUCCAUGAUCGCGGAAUCACGGUUCCGUCAGCACGGAAUCGUGGAACUCACGCAUCGCCAUUCUGCGGUUCCGUCAUCAAGGAAUCGCGAGUUCCGUGAUUGCGUGUCACUAAUCAUGAGUGUCCGACUUGAGGUGAGCUCGUAGCCGUACGUCGGCCGUGAAUCGCGGUUUCGCGGUUCCGUCAUCACGGAAUCGCGGAAGGAACUCAUUGAAUUUUGAGUUCACUACUUCACUGAAUUUUGAGUGAGUUCACUACGUCAGCACGGAAUCGCGAUCAUGGAACUCACACAUCGCGAUUCGAUUCCGUGGUUCCGUCAUCACAGAAUCGCGGAAUCGUGAGUUUCGUGAUCGCGUGUCACUAAUCGCGAGUGUCCGACUUGAGGUGAGCUCGUAGCUGUACGUCGGCCGUACCUGACGACAUAUACCAAAAUCGCUAGGUGAGCUCGUAGCUAAGGGGAUCUGCGCCAUGACGUCCGCUCAGUCGGACGAAAUCUCGGGACGACAUUUGACCGAGGUCGGGACCGUGCGAUGGUGAAUUGACGCCAUCGGAUGAACGUACCGCACGACAUUCGCCGUGCGGACGUGCCGUUCUAGAAACUGGGUGUGUAUAUAUAUUAAUAAUCAAGGAAAAGAUUACAAGCAAUUUGUUCCGGUCCACUGUGAAGAGUGUUAUAUUGCUACCAAGUACCUCUCUCAUGAGCCAUUUUCAAUUUCAAAUUUUUAUUUUGUUUUAUAAUUUUAAAAGAAUAUAUUUAUGCUAUAGUGUAAGGUUGUUUUAAAGUUUAUUUCUAGAAAAAAAUCAAAACUAAAUUUAUUUGUUUGAUGGAUAUAUGUAUGCCUAAAAUGUUCUUUAUUUAUUUAAUGUCUAAUAUUUUAUUCAUAUUGAUAUAGGGAAUAACUUUCUUCAUACUUAUUGUCCAAACACUCUUUCCAAUUUCUUAUGAAGGUUUCCGUCUUUAUUGGAAGAAUCGUUUGAAUAUACUGAAGGUAUUUCUUUUUGGAAAAAAAUCAUAAUAGUGAUACUUUAUAUUUAUUAGUUUUUGAACCACAUGCAAUUGAGAAAGCAUUUUUCCUAUGCGAUAAUUUAGUAGUGCUUUUUUUUUGUAUGAAGUAAAAUUUCUCAUUAAUGAGAGUUAAGGGCAUUGCCCUGAUUACAAUUUAAGAGGAAAUCCUAAUAAAGGAAAUGGGCUAUUGUCCAUCGAUAUUCUCCUCUCUAUUCUCCUAUCUAGCUAUAGUACUUAGUGGUGUAAUAACUAAGUACUUUGUCUCAAGAGGUUGGCCUCCCAAACCUGCAUAGUAGCUUCCUCUAAUUGUGUGUCACAUUUUUUCCUAAAGAUCUCCUGUUUAUAGGAAAUCAUAGUGUCUCUAAUAAUAUAAUCUGACAUAGCCUACUAUUCUCUACCCUAUCUAAAAGUAAUAUGCUAAACUACCAGACUGAGAUCCACAUACAUAAACGUGACGCCACUGCACUAUGUACACUCCCAUGGUUUGGAUCUCACUCAUUGGAGAUCUUUAGGAAUGCUUUGACAUAUUUUUAUAAUUUUAUAAAUAAUAUUUAUAUAUAUUUGAGAUUCCUUAACAUGGAUAUGGAAAGAUCUGCUGAUUGUAUUUAAUAUUAGAAAAUACAAGGAGAAGCUAACCUCGAUGAAUCCGAGUUCUUUAUCCUCUUGGUGCAUUAGUGGCUAACUAAUCUUAAAUCUAAUAGACCUAGUAGUCGGUAGAGAUAAAGUAGUGGUAAUAGUAGUAAAUCUCAGAAGCCUUUCAGAUUGGGUGUGCACUUAGUGCAGAUGUAAAUUUCUCUUACAUUUUUUUUUAUAAAAUUUUACUCUUUACAAAAGAGCUUUUUUUCUUUUCUUGAAGCAAUUAAAUUUCAUUAGAAUAAUGCUAAUGCCAAGUUUACAAAAAUAGAGAAUAGAAAUAAAAAUAGAAGUAAAAAGAAAUGAGCAAAAAGCUCAUUGACUCUCUCCCAUUAGCUACGUAGUCUAGUUAUACAGUAACUAGAUACGCUGCCUCAGGAGGUUGGUCUCCCAUACUUCCAUUAUAGAUGUCUCCAAAGGGUGACAACAGCUCUUCUUGUAAUACACUGAAUCAAAGGAGAGACUGAUGUCUUUAAUGACCUCCUUAAGGACUACCUCAGGAGGCCUACUAGUGUGCUGUCUAUAUCUCUUAUUUCUCUCCGUCCAUAUAUGCCACGACAAACAUCCAAUAGCAUUCCAUAUUAACCCCCAAGGGGGAGAGUGGCGCGUAAUCUUUUGUGCUGCCUCCGUUAAAUCCCCUAAUCUAAUAUCUGGACUGGAUUGAGUAGGGACUGGAAUGUGGAAUCCAGGUGUUCCGCCAACGGAAUUAAUAGAGAUCUAGAAUAAGAACAGUUAAAGAAAAGAUGACUCCUAGUUUCAUCUUCCAUAUUGCACAACAAGCAAACAGAAGGCACUUGUAGUCUCCAACUUCUCAGCUUCUUGAACGUGUUUACGUGAUCCCAUUUCACCCUCCACAACAGAAUAGAGAAUUUUGUCGGCAUCUUCGACCAAAUUCCCUCAGCUAACAUGUCUUUAUGCUUUCUAUUUCUAAUACUUUCCACUAUUCCCCCCAAUUUAUUUAUCGGAGUACCAGAUCUCUACACAAUCGUACUAUUGACCCUAUAAUCCAAACAUUUAUCCACUAGGCUUCUUUCUGAAACAAAAGCUUUCCAAAAAUGCGAAUCCACAGUAGGCCUGAUUUGUAUAUCAUUAAACGCCUUUCCUUUAAUAUACCUAUCUUGGAUCCAUUUUACCAGAAUAGAAUCGCUCCUAUCCCAGUACUUUGAAGCUCUUUUAAUAUUGGUUGCAGUAGUAAUAAUAGUAAGGUCUCUAACCCCUAGACCCCCUUCCGCCUUGGGAAGGACCAUUUGGGCCCACGGGAUCCCUUUCCUUCCGUCCCAUAUAAAUCUAUAAGCUAACCUUCUCACCUUCUUAGCCACAGAGUCAGGGAUAGCCAUACCUUGCGCCCAAUAAGUAUACUUUCCAGCUAUUAUCCAGUUAACUAGUUGUAUUCUCCCUCCAUAGGAAAGACAUUUCCCGCUCCAUCUUGCUAAGAGCGCCUUUACAAAAGAGCUUCCUAGACAAUAAAGUGGACAGUUUUUAUGCAAUGACUGUGUUUGACCAUAAGUCUAUAACGUACAAAACAACCACAUAAACUUACGAAUCCUCAAUCCUCUCAUAGGAAAAAUAGAAAAAUCAAUCUAACAUCAUAAACUCCCAAGGUGUCAAAGUUGAAACAAACAAAAGUGAUCUUCCUUUGUGCUAACAAAAGAAAUUACUGGUGAACUUUUACCUCUCACAUAAUUUAAGAAAUCCUCAAUUAAGAAUAACAUAUACGCAAAGGAUCAUGCUGAAUAUGCUCUAUUAUUCUGUGUUAUUUAUAAAUCAUCCUUAAUGUUGAUACAGAAUUCUCUCUUGGUCAGUAAUUAUCAUAGCAUGAUUGGUUGAUUGUGCAUGUUAGUUUCCUCAAGGAAAAUAAUGUUUUUUGAGGGUUUAUUUGAAUGUAAGAAAUCAUGAACUCUUCGUUGUUGCAACACCCAAUUCUUCGUCUGAUUGAUGUUUUUUGAUAUAUCUUGUGUUGUACUUUUUUUUUAAUUCGAUCAGUUAAUAAUAUUUCCAUCCCAUGCAGGUUGUGCUCUUAGUGCUUUUACUUUGUGACAUGUUGUUUAAUAUUUUCUCUCUCUCCUCUUUACCUGUGGAACAACUGCCCAUGCGGAUUGCCCCAUAUUUUCGUGUUCUGUUCCUUGCUUUAUCUAUCAGGUAAGAUUAUGCUACAAAUUAGUGGAAAACUUAAUUUUCGCUAUUAAAGACAUAAUGCUCGCUUUCGCUUUGCAUUAAACGGCAAAAGUGGGUGAUGGAUUGAGAACUGAAAUAUUUAUACUAUUCGAUGAUUGAUUCUUACUUAUUUCUUCAUUCUUAUAUAUAAGAAACAAAGCAUUUGAUCUUUUAAUUUCAGAAAUAUUAUUAUAUUUGACCAUUUUUUUUUAGGGAGAUUCGGGCAUGCUUAGUUACACUGGGUGGAAUGUUGGGCAUGUACCUUAAUGUUUUGGUAAUAUUGUGAUAUGCCGUUAUUUAUGCUAUAUGCCGUUUUUUAUAUCAUGAGUGGAUUUUCUGUAUCAAUUUCUGAAUAUUUAUUAAUUUGCCAUCCUUGUAAUUUUUUUGUUUUGAGAAUUUGGAUUUUUUUGCAGUGGAUUUUCAUCUUUUAUUUAAAAACCAAAAAACGGCAAAGUUACCUGAGUACAAACUGACUAUAAAUUUAACAUUAUCUAAAAUGUAAAUUAUUUACAUCCAUGGUUUUCCUAUCCUAGUAUAGCCGAACUACACUAUGUGCACCCCUACUCUUUUAUUAAGAUACCAAUACAAUCUUUUAUCAAGCUUGCCAAGCUAUCAAGGAGAGUUUCUCUGCAUUGAAAAUAACUUUUCAUCCCUUCUUGAUACACUUUCAGAUUUUCUGCCAACUCUUCUCUUCCUUGUCAUGUGCCUUUUAAAGUUCGCCUUUUAAAUAUGCCAUACUGCUAUCCCUAAGAGCAACCAGUGUAGUCCCAAACAUGCAUUUUUUUCCACCGAGAUUCUGAUCCAGAUAUUUUAACAUUCCUAUUAUACAAUGAUGGUCGGGAUCAAAAUUAUCCAAUUUCCCAUCUCAAGAUUACACGUCUUCCAUAUUUCUUGGGAGUAUGCACAGUGAUUAAUGUCAUCAUCUUCCAUCCUACAAAGAACAGAUCUAUUUUGAUAGUACAUUCGUGGAUAUGCCCCUAUAAAUUCUAUCAUGCAAGUCUUUUCUAUGGACAGUUCUCAUAUCUCCUAAUAUGCUGGUGAAUUUUUCCAAUGCCAAAUAAGGCCAUUGGAUUCUCCUUUCCAUGUAACAUUUCUCUCCAAAUAAAUAAUAUUUCCAUGGACUUCCCUUAGACAUAUUCUUCUUCUAAUGCAUCUAGCCCAUAUGGAUUUUUUAGAUGUCAUCGUUUUUCCCAUCCUUUUAUGUCAUGGACUCAUGGCAUUCCAUAUAUAUAGCUCACUGACAUCUCUCAGCCCCAAUCCACCUUUGUAAAUGGUUUUGCACAAUGUCCCUCCCUAGAAGAAUUCGUAGAUGAUAUCUCUAACCAUUUCAUCACUCUGAUACUUGCAUUCUGUUUUGACUCCUUUCUUUGCAAAUUCUAUGUCACGGGAACCAAUGACAUAUUGACAUUAAUUGCAACUAAUUAAUUCAUAAUUAUUUCUUUUAAUUGCAGGCUCUUUCUCUUUUGUUUCUCCUAUUUUCCAGUUGGUUAGCUUAUGUAACAUUUGAGGAUACUCAACAAGGAAAUAUAUUCUUUACUUCCUUUGGUACUACGUUGUAUGAAAUGUUUUUACUUUUUACCACAUCAAACAAUCCAGAUGUGUGGAUUCCUGCAUACAAGUAAGAUGAUUUGGUCUAUUGUUAUUGUUUCUUUUUUUUAGUUUAUGUUUGUUAACUUAGAAUGGAUAACUCAAAUCGUCUUAUAAUGACAAUAAGUAUUUGCAUGAAAUCGUGAUUUCUCUUCUCAAUGGGUACCUAUCCACUUCAAAUUUUCCUAAUGAUAUAUUAGGUGGUUGUGGGUUCUCAUAAAUUAUGUUUGUUAUCUAUUUGAAAAAGUCUAUGUUUAUUUAUCUUCUCUCUUUUUGUUCUAACAAUAUUAUAUUCUCGCCCAUCUAUAUGUAAAUGAGGUUUAUUGCUGAAUACUAUUUGAUAUACAUUUAAAAAUAUAUAAAUAUUAUUAGCAGAGAGCAGAUGAAUACCAUCAGAUAUUCAGAUUAUUUGUCACAUGUCCUAUUUUUACUGAACAUGAAAAAAUAAAGGCUUUUUAUAAUUUGUGAUAGUUAGGAUUUGGUAUCAUUAAAAUGGUUUAAUGGCCGCCCAUUCUCUACGAGGUGUGUAAAAUCAUUUAUAAUCUUUUGUCACAGCUUGCCAUUUGACAAAAUAAUGAUUGGACUUAUGAUUGAUAGCCUCUUAUUUCAUAUCUUAUCCUCUUAUUUUAUUUUCAACCAUGAAAUUUACCUAGAUUUCUGGAUGGUUAAAAAUAAGUUCGAUAUGGAAAUUAACUCUAUCUGUUUGCUUUUGUUCAGGAGUUCUCGUUGGUCAUGCAUAUUUUUUAUUCUAUACGUUCUGUUGGGAGUGUACUUUGUCACAAAUCUCAUUCUUGCUGUGGUUUAUGACAGUUUCAAAGCCGAGGUAUAUACAUGAAAAUUCUCAUUUUAUCAUUUCUGAUUCUCUAUUUCAUAUUUUUGUAGUUACUAUUAUGGUCUUAUAUCAAAAAAUCAUGAAAUGAUAUGUUUGAAUUGUCUAACUGACUUAUUUGACUUUAGCUUGCAAGACAGGUCUUUGAAAUGGAUUCAAUGAGGCUCAGAAUCUUGCAAAAGGCAUUCAGCAUCAUUGAUAACUUUGUAAGUCUUCUUUGGUUUGUCUUUAGAGCUUAGGCACUCUAGCGCUUAUUAUUAGUUAUCAUCAUUCAAAAUCUACAUUUUUUUUAAAGGGUAAUUUUUUUUGUUUUUCGUAAAGAAAUCAGCUAAUUACAUAUUUAUUAUGUUUUACAUUUAUCACAUUGUUUAAAUAAUGACAUUUACCUGUAUCCCAAAAUGAUUUUUCUUUUUAUCAUAAACAGAAUCGUCAGUUUCUAGACAAAGAUCAGUGUAUCUGCUUGUUUAAGGAGAUGAACCAUUACAGGUGGAAUCCUCUUUUAGUCAUGAAUCAUUAUAUUGUUGUAAUUUUUUACAUGGAAUCAAUAAUAUAUUCCUUGUUCCCAUGUAUACGGAAUUAAUGUAGUUGCACUUGUUUUCUAGGUCUCUACCAAAAACAUCCAUGGAUGAUUUUGAACUCAUAUUUACUGAACUAGAUGACAGUGGAGAUUUUAAGGUAAUUUUUUGUAUCUUUUUUAAACAGUAAAUUUUAUCAAAGAAAAAUACGAAAAUAAACAGAUAUAUUACAAAAUCAAGAGCAAUUCCUAUUCUAAACAAAAUAAAAUUAAAGUGCUAGAAGUAUUCCUAUUCCAUGGUAUGAAGGAAAGGUGGGAAAUAUCUCAAUAUAUCCAGAUAUUUUGUUAGAAGUAUUGUGGUUAUUAUAGUAAUUUCAUGACUCAUGUAUCCCUAGUAUUCAUUAUAUUUUUUAGAUGCCGACACAUAAUCAAGCCUAUAAUGUCAUUCAUGUCUCAUCACUAGAUCUCCUGAUGUCUCCAUUCAGAACCAAGCCUCUGAUGUCAUCCAUCUUGAGCUUCUCUUGACUCAAGGAAAUGUUGUUUGAACCAACGUUGAUCAACACUCCAACAUCGAAGAAAGAAAAAUCAGUGCAUUGACUUCAUCAUUAAAGUUGAUGUCUACUGAGCGAGUUGCAUUUAUAGUGUGUUGAUUUCUCUCCUGUUCAACAGCUUUUCUUCCUUGUAUCAUUUUUAAUUUCAAUAAUCUCUUUUAUCAAAUAUUUGUGAGAGUCUCUAUUAGUUCAAUAGUAGUAUUGGCCUUGAAAAUGUUGAACUCAAUGUUCCUCAUCAAUGACAAUAAUAAACCUAUUUUGUAUAGUCAGGCCUAGGAGAUCAUUUAAAGUGAAUUUGUUAUUGGGAUUUUUUUUACUAAGAACCCCUUAAUGAUGGACUAAUAAUCCAAUUUAACCAUCAAACGAAAUAAUGUAAAAAAAUCUUUUCCAGCCCACAUGUCGAGGAGCCAUGUGAUGCAUCAAUCGAGGAGAAAUGGAUGGUCAUGGUGUGAGAUCGCUUUUAAUCUUUUUUAAGGGAUCUCACUAGAAGUCUAGAACCCUUUUUUCUUCUGACUCUUUUUCCAAAUAAAAACCUUUUAGUACAGUACAAUACUUACAACUGCACUAUCCCACUAGUAAUGUCUCCAAUGCUGAUCCAAAUCUUCUAGCAAUGGAAAAUAGUCUAAGUUUUGGUACAAAUUAUUAGAAUCUCGAGGAUCUCUUUCACUGUCUCACACGAUUAACUACGUACCCACUUAGAAAUUACCUAAUUAUAUAUCAGGAUUCAGGUGACCUCUGGUAUAUCACUUGGAUUUUUUACCUAUCUAGGAGGGGUUUCCUCUGUUUUCAAAAAAAGCAAAAUUCCCAUAAAUACUCUUUAUUAUAAACAAAUUUCUAUAAAUUGGCAAUAAAAUUGAAUAUGAAUAUUUAACCAGAUAUUCGAAUAUUAUAUGAAUUUGGACAAUUAAUAGUACAUGGAUUGCAGCAGUAUAUAUCUAAAUCAAAUCUGUAAUCCGUUUAACUACAGAUAGUAAAAAAAAUAUUGAUGUUGGAUUAUGAAUCCGAACGAGCGUAAAUAAUUUCAAAUAGACAUAAAUGAAUUCGAACUUUGAUUACACAUAUCCAUUGACCGACCUAUAAUUCACUUUUCACAAUGACAUUUUCACGCUAUUUAAGUUCUAUGAUAUUGGAUUUUAUGCAAUUAAUUAUUUAUCAUUUAUUAAGGAUUUUGUAUGGCGCUAUAAUAACAAUAAAUCAACUCUUUUUAUGUGAUGAUGAUUGUUUACCAAGCCAUUCAACUGCAGAUUAAUAUUGAUGAGUUUGCAGACCUUUGCAAUGCUAUUGCCUCAGAGUUCGAAAAAGAGCCUACUGUAAGUGACAUUUUAAUAGAUUAUUUUUAUUUUGAUAGUGUCGAUGGUAUAUGGUAAACUUAUAUUCAUAUAAAAUGAAAUUGCAAAGGCAAACACACAAAAAUAAAUAAGUUGAUUAAAAUAAAAGAUAGACCAAGGGAGAUUGAAACUGUUUACAAUCAUUGGGUCAGUAGUGGAAACUGGAAAGCCGUCAAAUGUUUACAUAUGAUGAUAUGAUGGUGGAGCCUGAAGAUAGAGGGGGAAAAUAUCGGAACUCAUGGAAAUAAAGAAGCAUAGAUCUUGGCUCAAUUUGGAGGAUAAGUGGAUAACAAUACAAGAUUUUUUGCUGGCAUCUCAAGAGAAGGGGAAAAAACUCACUAUUCAAGAUGAAAAAUCCAGAGGGUCAGUCCCUGACAACUAGAGAGAAGAUAGAAGAUAAGUCCAUUCCAUAUUAUACUGAACUUUUCAUAGAUAGAGAGAUGAAUAUUACCAUGAGGAAUAAUUUCACAAGGCAUACGUUGACACUAUGAUGUGAUAAAUGCUGAUCUUGAGAGAAUCCAUUAUUAUGAAGUUAAAGGUUUGAUGAGUUUAAUGACUGCUUUUAUAUUCAAUGGAGAUUUAUUGGCAUAGAUCUAGUGAAAGUGGUGUAAUCUUUUACCUUUUACCUUUUGGAAUAGUCUAUUCAGAGAAAUGAAUCACACCUUAUUCAUUUUACUCAUAGACUUAAAACUAAUUAUAUGUGAUCCAAGCUUUUAAAUGUGUGAUUGCGCCAGGUUCCAAGGGCAUUUGGGUAAUUAAAUAGAAAUAUUAUAAAUUUCAUAUAUUUUAGAUACUUAAAUACUGAAUAAUAGUAUAGUAAUAGUAAUAGUAAUUGUACUAAUACAAAAUACUUAAAUACUUAAUGUCUAAACAUCCUUCAUGUACUUAAAUUUUACAAUUACAGUCUAUUAAAUACUCACACACAGUCGCCGGAGGAGGGAGCAAGCAUUUGGGGGAGUCUUGGGGAAGAUUUGGAGAGGUUUUGUGGUGUUCUUUCUUUUUCCAGUUCUGGAAAAUGCAAGAUCCCUAAUUUUUUUUAAAAGAUUUAAGUCAAUCGGAUCUGGCUCCAAACCCGACCUGAAUCCGAUUAAGAUCCAAUAACUGGAGAUGCCUUGAAAACCACCUGAGGCACAUUUAUGCACGCGUACAAAAAAAAGUGAGCAACAGUAAUAAUUCCACACUAAUAAUCUGAAGGGAUAGUGAUAACUUCAAUCUGUUUUAGGUAUAUAGAAGUAUAUGGCGCAUUUUUGCUGCGGUUCAUCCCUAAUGCGGAUGACUGCGGACGUUCCAUCCGACCGUCCCCUCCCCUCCCCUAUUCAAUUCCUGGACAACCGCACCUGAAGCGGAUUGUAUAUGUAUAUACUGCGUAGUAUAAAUGUUGAGUAAAUUAUCACUUUUACAAUGAAUGAUAAAAUGUUCAUUCUUUUUGCAGAAAUCUAUGUUUGAAAGUUAUCCAACAUUUUAUCAUUCCGAAACAUGCAAUACGUUGAAAGAUUUUGUCAUAAGUCCCCUAUUUGGAUAUAUUGUUGCUUUUGUGCUCGUACUAAAUUUUGUAGCUGUUGUCAUUGAAACUACGGUAUGGCUGUGAUCAAUGAAGUUUUCAGUGUACAUUUUUUUCUUUUGUAAAUUUGUGGAUAAAUUUUUUAUUUAAUUAUAUGGUAAAUUUUCACAUGGAUCCUGUUUUUGUACUAACUGCUGAAUUAUGUUUUUGAGUUGCAGCUUGAUAUACAAAAUAAUUCUGGACAGAUAUUCUGGCAGAGAGUUGAGUUUUCCUUUGGUAAGAUUUAUGCUAUUUCUUAGAUAUUUUUGUGCUAUUUCUUUUUAUUUUGUUAUCAGUGCCUGCUGCAUUGUUUUAGUUUUCUUAUACUCUGGAUUGUACAUAAUAAUGGAUUAAUGGUACAGUAUGCUGAUAUAUAGUAAUGACUCAAUGCUUUAGUGUUAAUUUGGUCGUUGUAACUUAAUGUAAAUUACUAUUUGAAGUCAUCAGAAACAUCAACCUCUCCGUCAGGGUAAAAGGCCAGAGUGUCAUAGGAAAAUUUGUCGUCACCCUUUGGAGGACACUACAUUUCAAAUGUGGAAGACCAACCUUCCGAGGCAGUUUGUCUAGUUGAUUGUCACUAGGUAGCAUAACUAAUUGGAAAGUAUUGAUGGGUCACAAACCCAUCUCCCUUUUUAUCUUUGUGUUUCUCUAAUGUAACUCGGACAUUGCCCCUCAUUGUUCUAAUGGAAAAAUUUACGGCUUCAAAAAAAAUAUUAUUUCCUUUUAUGAAAAUAUUCAAAUAUUAUUAUUCUUAAAUUUCACCAACAGGUUGGCUUUAUGUCUUGGAAAUAGCUUUGAAGAUAUUUUCGGUUGGAUUUGACAAAUACUGGAUGGAAGGUCAAAACCAAUUUGACUUUGUGGUCACAUGGGUUAUAGGUACAGAGAUAGAUAUCUUUUGGAUUGUGGAGAACUAUAUCUUUUUUUUAUCUGCAAAUGGUUAAUAAUUUCUAAUAUUCCAUUCAAUAAGGCCAAAUCAUUAAAAAAAUUGAGUCCACUGGAUUGUAGCAUUUUUGUUAAUUUUAAUCAAUUCCAUUCAAUAAGGCCAAUUUCCAAACAUUAGAAGGAUUAAAUCUCCGUUUAUAGCAUUUAUGUUAAAAAUAUUGAAAGCUUGUAAUUAUGACGAGUUCAACCUGAAUUUCUUGAUUUUUAAUAUAAAAAAAACAUGCAAUAUAUUUCUCCUGAAAAUGUUUAUUUAUAAUAAAUUGAUGAUGGAUAAUAUUUCUAUUUUGUAUUUGCAGUUCUAGGAGAAACUGCAACUCUCUUUAUCCCGGACGGAUUCACGUUGCUUGCAAAUGGGGAAUGGUGAUGUGUAACUUUUGUCUAAUUAUGUAUCAUUAGGGCUAAGCCUUAUUAGGAACACUUGCCCGAAUUUGAGGAUUACUCGGUCCAAAUGGGCUGAUCCAAUUAUUUUGGGAAAACCAAAUUGGACUCUCUAGGAUUAUGUUAAAACCUAGCUCAAGCCAAUAGAAGGGAUCAAACAUGUGUGUCGGUUGAUCCUAUGCCCAAUUGUUAUUUGGGUUGGGUGACCCGAUUAGAACACAUGAAUCCGGUUUGAGUCCUAGGUUGAACCACAAAUGAGCCUUGACCAAUCCUAAGUGCUUAAGCUAGAGUUUCAUUUUUCAUCUGGUGUUGACCUAAGCGACAUGUCUAGGCCAAUUCAGCCCAUGCUUUGCCCUAAGACCCUAACAAUUCUCCAAAACCUCUAUAAAUAAAGAGAAACUACUUCAAAUUCAUGUUAUAUUUAUUUCUACUCUAGAGCUCCACCAACCUUCUAAAGACACGAAAUAACGUGUAUUCUAAUACACAACCCCUCCCUACAGAAACUAUCUAACUUAUUGAACACUUUAAGGUGUUCUGACCCAGCUUGGAUUAUACAUCGUUAAUUUUAUUUCAAGUAUUAUUUACUGACGUUCUUUUCUGCAACAGGAUUCGCUACCUUUUGAUCGCAAGAAUGUUGCGACUUGUAAGGAUUUUGAUGCAUGUUCCACGAUAUAAAGGGUUUAUAUCAACAUUCUUUAAAUUAAUCCCAGCCUUAAUGCCAUAUCUUGGAACCAUAUUUUUUGUAAUGUGUAUCUACUGCUCUCUAGGUUUACAGGUAUAGUUCCCAUCGAUCACAUGGCCAUAAAAACAUUUUGAUUUUAUAAUAUUUAACCUGCAUUAACCUGAAUAAGUAUGUUACAUAGUUUUCUUUUAUCUUCAGUUAUUUGGUGGACUUGUUUACUCUGGAAAUCCUAAUUUGGAAACUACAGAACUCUAUGAUAAUGAGUAUCCUUGAUGUAUAUGUGAAUUCUCAUGCAUUCAUUUUAUUCAUAUUUCUUCAAUACUCAAACCGAAUUUUCCUUGACAAAUAUAGUUAUCUUCUUUUUAACUUUAAUGAUUAUCCCAAUGGGAUGGUGACCCUUUUCAAUAUAUUAGUCUUGGCGAGCGGACAAGAAUGGAUGCAGGUAAUAAAGUAUUUGUGUUUCUUCCUAUACGAUAAGAUAAUAAUAAAUUUGACAAAAUUGCCAUCUUAUUUGUGUUAAUGCAUUUUCAGACCUACAAGAAGUUGACAGGGACAUCUUGGAGUCUUGUUUAUUUUGUCAGUUUUUACCUUAUAGCAAUCAUGUUACUGCUCAAUUUGGUCAGUAUUGUUGUCCCUUUAGUUUCUAACUUUCUAUAGUUUAUUACUUGUUAACCUAUAUAAAAUUAAUUGUCUGAAAACAAUUAACCGAGAAUAUGUUCGAUAUUUUUUCAGGUUUUGGCAUUUGUUUUGGAAGCAUUUUUUGCUGAAAUGGAUCUAAAUGUACCAAAUGAUGAAGGGGUAAGUGAUCAUAUCAUCAUAGAAUCUAUACUGAUUACUAAUGCUUUAGGAUUUAAAAUCACAAUGCAAAAAGCAUAGAUAAUCAUUUUUUUUGUAGUUCAUUGCUGAUUUGCUUCGCAGAAUCAGUGUUAGCAAACUAAUAUGUUAAAGAAUGAAAUCAAUGGAUAUAUUUUUUUUAUGACCUUAUUACAUUAAUUUAUGCACACAUGUUUUCUUUGUUCAGAGUUCUUCACAGCGUACGGGACGGAAAAUGAUUGGGUAAUAUACUAGUUUUUGUAGUUAUAUUUAUGAUUUGCGAUUUACAAUUCUACUCAGCUUAUCAUAUAAUCAGAUUUAUAUUAAUUAUAUUAUUAUUACACAAUAAUGCAGCUUAUCAAGGAGUCGUAAGGUAGAUGCUCUUCUCCAUCAAGUGCUAAGUAACGAACUCAAGGAAUCUCAGAGCAUGAGACCGUAAUAACUCAGAGGGGGAAGAUUAUAUAAACCGAUCUACUUAUUCUUUCAUUAUCCUUGGUCACAUUUGUUUCCCUUGAAAUGAACAUGUUUAUAUUAUGCUACGGCUCAAUUAUGAGACCUAUAUUAGGUGAGAUCGGGCUAUAUGAGAUCAAAUAAAACCAAUUGAUCUUAGCCUUCCAUAUUAAUAGAUAAAUUACAUUACGUCCAGUAUUCACUAAAAUAUUGAAAUUUAACUGUCACUUCUUAUACUUUCUUAAUCAAAACAUGUUCUUUUUUUACUCCUUGACGGAGUUCUGCAUCAUAAAUUUUUCACAAGAUUUGCCAAAAGGCGAAACAAAAGUUCUUUGACAUUAGAGAAGAUUUCCAAAGUUCUUUGACAAAAGUUUCAUAAAAUUUUAAAAAAGUGGAAACAAAGUUCUUUAGAAUUCACAAAACGGAAAAAAAUUUCCAUAAGAUUUAUUUGGUUGGACAUGAUCAUACUAGACCAUUAAUUUAUCGAUAUAAAAGAAGAUGUAUUACGGUCCUUUAUAAGCCAUAGCAGAUCAUACAGGCAUACAUAUUAAAGGCCGAGAAAUCAUCUAUCAGCAGUCACUACAAGUGGUUGAGCUUCGAUGCGCCUUUUAGGAAGAUAAGGACCUCUCUUCACUGAAUCCUGCAGCUGUAAAUAUAUAGGAAAUCAUAUAUUAGACAAAUGGAAGGAUGGACAAACUGAAAUUUCAUAUAAAAUUAUGACCGCAUUCAAAUAGUAAUUUACUUACUUUUUCCACAAUUGCAGCAAGGGUCGGAUCAACGAUCAUGUUGAAAUCUGACAAGCUUUUGUAGAUAGCUGUGCAACAUUUAUAGCGAUAGUCCAUUCCUACAUGUAGUAUCAGUCAAAUUUUAUCACAAAACUAAUAGAGUAUGAUGUAGAUUAUAGAUGAGAGUUGGCUAAUUAGCGUACCAUUUUUGCUUGUUUCAAUGUGAGAAUCACUCACAAUAUCAAUGAUUUCGUGCUUUGAACAAACUUCGAUCAAGAACCAUUGUCGUGUAAUUAAUGCUGAUAUUAAUCUGUAUGCCUGAAACAAUCAUGUUAAAAUCAUACGAUGAUGGUAAAGAAUUUACGGGACAAAAUGUAAGAAAAAUCUAUUACAAACCUAAAACAUCUUUGUAAAUAACAAUCGCCUCCUAAUUCAUAAUCAAUAAAUCUCAAAAUAUAAUUAUAUAACUAUAGGUUGUUAAUUUAUCCAAAAAAAUAUCACUAGUUACAUUUCUCAAUGUGAAGAAGCUUACCGCAAGUCGAAUUUCAGGCUCUUUUCGCAACACAGAUAGAAUCAAAGCCUGAAGGAUCAGAUGACAAAAAAUAAAAAUCGAUCAAUUUUUAUUAUUAUAAAAAUGAAGGGCAAUGCCCGAUUACAUGGAGAACAUAAGAAAUGUAGAAGAAGAAAAUGUACAAUAGGAGAUAAACCAAAGGGCCGUCAAAUCUUUCCAUUUAGUUGUGUAAUCUAGUUAUAAAGUCUGUCUCAGAAGAUUGGUCUCUCGUACUUUCAUAGCUAAUGUCUCCAAAAGCUGACAACAACUCUUUUUGUGACACUUCGACCCAAAGAAGAGACUGAUCUUUUUAAUUAUCUCCUUAAGAACUACUUUAAGAGGCCUACUGGUGUGAGUCUGGACCUUUUGUUAAAUUUGUCAGACUAUCUAUGUUAAAUUAUAAACAAUUUGCAGCAAUAUUCUAGCAAGCCUAUUCAUUAUUAUGAUUACUAAAAUGUGAAACAUCUUGCUUGUUCCAUGUGCGUAUUGGAAAAAAGUAAAACAUAAAUUACUAACAGAUGGUGUCAGCUUGGAACUAUUGACAGCAGCCUUGUAAAUCAACUGACGGAGGCAGUCUUCUGCAGUACUGCAAAGAAGUAUCCUACUGUCUGAUCGGUCAAUUCCAGCAAUAAUUCCAAGAGCGUGCAAUGCAGCCUAAUGAAAACCAAAAGAUAGAUAUUAGGAUUUAUAAAUAUGGUGACAUUUGAGCCAAUAAAUUAUUACUGCAUCUACCAAUCAUUAAGUUUAAAAUAUACGUCACCUACUUACAAUGUAACAUGAAAAAUAAAAUACAAUUUCUUCAGUGUAAAAAAAUUAAGAUGCUGACUACAGUUGAAUGACUUCAGACCAAUAUCAUGUUAUGACACCUAAACACCCCUUAAAAGGUGAUCUCCAAAUUCUUGCCAUAAACAAUCUACUUUCUUGAAUGGUAGGCUUCUUGAAGAUAAUUUUGUACUUGCAUAUUUGAAGGUUGAUAUAGCUAAAACAUUUGAUAGUGCGUACUGGGUAUGGAUUGGAUUUCAUCAUGGUCUCUAUAGAAUUUGAUCAAACUUCCUUUCGAUAUCAUAUUUUUUAUCAAAAUUCCAUAGCACUUUUUUUCAUUAGAACAAAGAGGCAAUGCCCGAGUUGCAUUGGAGAAAACAAAAAGAUAAAAGGAAGAUGAGUGCGUUGUGUGAUUGACACUUUCCAAUUGGCUAUGCUACCUAGUGAUAAUUGACUAGACAGACCUCCUCAGGAGGUUGGUCUCCCACAUCUGAAGUGUAGUGUCCUCCAAAAGGAGAGGUUGAUGUCUCUGAUCACUUCUCUAGGCAAAAAUGUUGAGGUUUAAGUUCACUUGGGAGAUAUAAGGAGUGUGGAGACUGUUUGGUUUAAUUGGUGCCCAUUAAUGGGGCCAAUUAAGGAGUCAUUAUCUUGGACCGACCCAAGAUAAUAACACUAUAUAUAUCUUAAAAUAGAGACUCAAAACCUAUCUUGCAUGUAAUAGGUUUAGACACCAUCAAUAUACACCAUAUAGAGUGGGUGGAACCACUAUAAAAUCUUAUGAAAAGUAUUAAGGUACUCUAAUUUAAUUCUCCAUAAAAAUAUGGAGAAUUUGGUUGGCAUAUGGGACCAUAUACCAUUCUCGUGUUGGUCUUUAUGGCUUCUAUUUCUAAUCAUCUCACAAAUCCCACCUAAUUUAUUACAUUGGGUGAUUUGGGUCUCUACUCUCCAUACCACGGUAUAAUUUUCUCUACAAUCCAGGGAUGAGUCAAUCAUUUCUCUUGUGCCAAUAUUUGAUUUUAAGUGUGAGUCCAUGAAGGGUUAAAUUCUAAUAUAUAAAGGGCCCUUUGAUAUCUCUCUCUUGGAUCUACUUCGCCAAAAUUGAUUACAAUGAUAUUUAGUUAUUUACAAAGGGCCAAGCAAUCGUGUCUACAAUCCAGGGAUGUGUCAAUCAUGUCUCUUGUGCCUAUAAUUGAUUUUAAGUAUGAGUCCAUGAAGGGUUAAAUUCUAAUAUAUGGACCCUUUGAUAUAUCUCUCUUGGAUCCACUUCACCAAAAUGGAUUACAAUGAUGAAUGAUAUUUAGUUAUUUACAAAUGGACAAGCAACUACGUGACUAGAAGAAAUUUUGAUAAAGAAUCCUAAUGAUCUUUUUGUAUUAACACUAUAAUCUAUAUUACUCUUUGGCUAUGAGCUACUUACUCUAUUACUCAUAUUUUGUUUUAGUUUAAGAAUAAAUAAUAUGUUUAUUUGGUUUUAUAUAUAUUCCGAAAUUUCAUAGGUAUGUUAGUGAUAAGAACAGAGGGCGGGUCGACCUUGACCCGAGGCCCGUCCCAGUCUGAUAAACCAGGCCUGGACGGAUCAGCAUAUGUAUGUUCCCAGACCCAAGCCCACUGAGUUAGAUCGGAUCGCGGAUCGGUCAGGGAAAUUUACAUUAUAAUACCUUUAUUUUCUAAAUAAAUAAAAUAAAAUAUUAACAAUUAACAGUUUAACACUAUAUGUUACAACAUUUAAUUUAUUUGAGGCUAUUGAGUUACAAGUUAUAACAUUGAAUUUAGUAUUUUAUCGAGCUUAUUCAAUUAUUAGGUCUAUUAAAUUUUAAUAAUGAUAAUAAAUAUUUAAUACUAUAUAAACCGGGUCAGAAUCGGUCGGACUUUAGGACGGACCCGGGCCUUCGGGUCACUGGCUCAAUACUGAAUUUUUGGGUCGGAAAAUUAGGCUCUUGCCUCAACCCUAAUGAUUGGACCAGAUCACGGGCCGAUCCAAACCCAUUCUCACCCCAAGGUACAUAUUUGUAAAUGAGUAGGAUUGAAAAGAAAAUUUAGCAUGAUUAAAUACAAGGAUAAGCAGUUGACAACCAAGGAGAUACUUUAUCUCCUUGGACUAAUUGUGGCUGAGAGGAACUUGAUACUUAAUGCUUAGCCCCAAACUCCUAAUCUAGGUGUGCACAAAGUGUAGACAUAGAUUAGGAGGUAAAAAAAUCAUAUUUUUAGUUUCUUAACAGAUGUAAAUGCGCACAUUAACCCGUUCUCAUUUAAUAUAAAAAUUAUUAUUUGCAAAAAUAGAAUUGAUAAAUAAAUACAAAUAUCAGAAGAAGAAAAGUUUUGUUUGUUUACUUGAGACCCAAUAAACAAAUUACUAAUAAAUAAAUCUUAAGUUCAUGUGAAUUUCUUACCAAAACUACACCCCUUCCUUGCUUGCUAAAAGCAGAAUACACAACAUGUCUUGCCACGGGGGAUGGGCUCAUAAACAAUAAAGUGGCUCCAUUAAUUGCUACAGAAAGGAAAGAAUCAACAUGAAAGACAGGAUUUCUGAAAACAUAAAAAAAAUAACACAAAAUGCACACUAAAAUCAGAGGAUAACAUUGUAUGUGGAAAGAAAUUGUGGAAAAUAUAAAACUUAAGCAAUAUUGUAGUAAUACUACUUUGAAACAGAUCUUGUAUUACUGAUAAAUACUAAACAAUGGAGAGAAUAUGUUAAAAAAAAUCGACACGUUAAAAGUACAAUAUUUCAUGAAAAACUAUCCAAGAGAAAAACACUGAUAUUAAAAGCUAUAAACAGCAUUUAAAUCAUGGCCAAGAUUAAAAAAAACACCAUGGGUCCAUUUCCUUGCAUAAAUUAAAUCAGACAUUAGCAAACAGGCUGUCAUAACUAAUAACUAAAAUUACAAACUUACAUGUCCCGACUUGACCCAAUGCUUCUAAUGCACUCUCACAUUCAUCUGUAUUUUCAUCUUUUAGCAUUUCUAGUCUUUCAUCAAUAGCUAGAAGGGUAUCUUUAACACCUGUAAUUUUUAGAAUUUAGAAAAACAGUUAAUUUUAUGUUACAGAAAGGUACCACUAUUAUAUGAUUGUUUUCUAUAACAGAAAUCAAUCAUUGUGUCGUAAUGAGUUAUAGUACCUAGCUCGAUAAUUAAUUUACUUUUGUAAUAGUGAUAGCUUGGCUGUUUUCAUAUAAAUGAAAGAACAAAUUACAAAAAAAAUCAAAUCACUCUUCCAUGUCAUUUUUCCACCAUAAUCAAAUGUUAUAUGGGAUUAUGGGGACAAAGAAUAGCUAUUAGACGAGAAUUUCUACUAUUUUGAGAUGAACAUGAGUAAUUUUUCUUUUUUUUCAAAAUUCUUGAUUCCAAAAUACCAAGAAUAUUGAUAUACAUUUCCUCAGUUUUUUAUUUAAUUUUCUUCUUUUGUAAGCUUGUUUAAGGAAUAAGGAAAUUCCAGAAAAUGAAGAGCUCGAGGUUGCAUCCCCCAGUUAAAAAAAAUGAAAUGUUUAUUCCGGUAGUCUCAAUCCAAUUUGUCCUAACAAAAUUUUUUAAUUUGUAUCGCCUACUUCGAAAGGUGAUUUAUGGGUUAAAACAAUCUCCCCAGAUAUGGUUUUUGAGAUUGAGAGUCUUCUCGCUAUAAAUCGACUUUGUGUGAAGCUUCGUGUAUUAUUUCUUGUUCAUUUUCUUGGGUAAUCACGCUAUGUAUCUGCUCGUCUACAUCAACGACAUAAUACUCACUAUUUCCGAACAAGGGAAAGUAGAUUCACUACUGAUAAAAACAAAGUUCAAAACAAAACAAAAAAGCACCUGCUAUUUUCAGAAAAACUAAAAAAUAGUUAAAAUAGUAUCCUCAAAAUAGAGAGAAUAUAUUAGUCAGGAUAAACUCAAUUGAAAAGUAUUUUACUAGUUUCAUCAACAACAGAGUAAGUAUCAGAUGCUGAAAGGAGUUUUCCAGUUAACAAAAAUGCUCUUGAUCGCAAUGUAGAAUCGAUGGAGUUAUUACUGCAAUAUUCAAAUGGUAUCAAAAAAUCAUAAAUUAAGAAUCACUGAUAUUAGAUAAAAUAAAGUAGUAUACUUUAAUUCUGUGAUCAUGGGCUUGCCUGAUCAAAGAAGAUAAUAACUGAAGCAAGGUUGUUUUCAAAAGGAAUCUGAUACUAUGAGGAGAUUCUGCUAACUGUGAAUGAUAAAAGUAAUACAAAUCAGGACAGUGGAUGGCCAACCAAACUUUGAAUAAACAAAUGGUGAUGCAUGCUAAAAUCACCCUCUUUUAAGUUUUACCAUUGGUAAAAAUACCAUGAAUGUUAAGUAUAACCUUCACACAUUGUGUACUUAAUGGAAGCUUCUAGAAAGCAUACAAUACUAUUAUACUAAUAUAUAUGAUAAUAUGAACUGUGAGCUUAGGUAGGAGCAUACCAAAUCACAAACAGUAAAAGACAAAAUUCAUUGAUAUUGAAUGAAAAAUUGGAAAUAAUGUUGAAUUCUUGAAUGGUGUAAUUUUUCGUAAAUUCAAGGGUGAAUACAGUGAAAAUGUAUUCUUAGUUGACUAUCAGUUACUACAUAAUACAUGCAAAGUACAAGAUGGCCAAAAACAACAACCAAUGAACACCUUAACACAAUGACCAAUUUGCUUGGGUGUUUGACAUUUAGUUGCAUAGAUUCUAAUAAUUAAGUGCAAGUUACUGAAAGAAGUCUUCAAGUCCAUAUUCAGAUAUAAUUCAUAUAACUGUCAAAAAAGAAGUGCCACAAAAGCACAAUUUGACUUUCAUAUUAUACUUAACUACAGAACUGGAAGAAAAACAAAACAAAAAAAUCAAUCACCUCAUAAAGAAGCUCCAGAGCACUUAAGCACAUCAGCAUGUCAUCAGUGUUACUAAUUUCAGCCUCGUAUAAAUUUAGAAGAUUUGAAUCAUAGACCAUUGUAGCGACAGAAAUCGAAAUAGAGAAUAGCUUGGCAAUGAGAGCAAGAAUGCGCACACGUGCCUGGAAUAUCAUAAUUUUGUCAGAACAAAGUUUAAGCAAGGUAACUAAAAACAUCUAAGGUUAUAUGUGCAUUAUUAUUAAUAUUUCCAACAAAUGAUUUUUUUAUAUGUGCAUAAAAAAAUUGCAAGUGAUUUUUUUAUUAAUAGAAAUGGACAGUGCCCCUAAUUACAAUACGAAAGAGAUAAAAGAUGGUAAAGGGAGAUGGAUGGAGGCCCAUUGACUCUCUUUUAUGUAGCAGUUACACAAAGUGAUCAAGUAACUAUGCGCAUUGCCUCAGGAGGUUGGUCUACCAAACUGUGGCCUCCUCCAAUUGUGAAUCACAUCUCUUCCUUCUUAAAGAAUUCUAGUCUAAAAGAUAGACUGGAGUUAUUGAUAACUUCUAUCAAAAGAGAUUCUAGAGGUCUCAAGGCAUGUUGUCUCAACCUUCUGUUCCUCUCGGACCAGACGUACCAAGCUAGUGCUCCAAGGUUCAGUGAUAUCUCUCGGUUUAAUAUCAGAGACGGUGAGUGUUGGUGAGGGACAGUUAGAUAUUUUCCAAAUUGCCUGGUUUAGGAAAUCAGAAACCUUAAAUUAAUAGGAAUCUAAAGUAUUUACAAUUGAAAAACAUUUUUUUUAUAACGGAGGGUACCUCUCUACAGAUGUAGAGCUGUCAACCUCUGGAUGAUAUACCAGAGCCACAUAAUAUAUCAUCGGGUAAAUUUAAGUGGAAAUGUACAAAGUAAGAUUCGAACCCUGGACCUCAGAAACCUUAAUAGUUCCUGAGACCAAUGAACCAACCUUACAAUUGAAAAACAAGCGGCUCACUAAAAGCCUGGUUAAGAAUUUGUGUGUAAAAAAAUUUUUGAUUGUUGAGAAAUACAUCAAGAAAAAGUAGUGAGCAAUACAAGAUUGAGAGAAAGAUGUGUAUUUUAAAAUGGUACCAGGAAGGAAGCAUGAGUUGCUAUCCUUUUCAGAUGAGUUUCUUCAUUAGCAUUUCUUGGAAAGAUGAUGUCCUAAUGAAAUUUAUUCAAAAAAGUCAAUGCUUUCAACAUCAUAAUCCAAUAUUAAUAUUCAACAUUGUGCAGACAAAUAACAAAAUGUAUGAUUUUUUUACUCUUACAGCUCCUUCAGAAAUCAUGGCAAGUUUACUAAUGGCAUCCGUUGAAGCAGAAGCAACAUCUGCAUCACUGAUUGAACAGAGAUCAAAAGUCAAGGUAAAACAACCUAUAAAUAAUCAGGAAUUAGAAAGAAAGAAAAAUGAUGAAUUAAAAUAGAAUGUCAUGAUAUGAUAAACUGACAAUAAAGAACACAUUGGAAUGGAAUGCCAUAAAAAGGGUAAGCAAAAAUAAUCAAAUAGAUACAAUCAUAAAAUUACAAGAAAUCCAUUAGUAAGUUGACAUAUAGUAUAUUACUCAAGGGUUUUACCCUUCCACAAUACAUUAUUAACAACUUUAAUAGGGAAAGAGUUUCCCUGAUCUGAAAAAAUAGAAAUCACAAGAAAUAGUGUCAUAAUUCCCACCAACACCAACCCUUAUGUUCAAUGUGCAAGUAAAUAUCAAAAUAUGUACAAUAAUAUUUGUUUUUAACUUUUUCCAAUAAAAAUUUGGAUUUGUACUAUAAUGAUUUUCUUUAUAAUAGUUUAUGUUUGAACUUAUGAUGAUGGUUUCAAAAUUUCACGUACCCUUCGAGAAGGCAUUUCAGCAAAAGGUUGUAGAUAUCAUUUUCUUUGAUAAGUUGAACAGUAAUUCUGAGAUCCUCAGCACUAUCCAGAAAAAUAUAUACCUGCUUGGGGACAACUUUAAUACUCAUUCAAAAAAAUGUCUUAACUGUCUAGGUGAAAUCAGAAAUAUAACGGGGAAGAUGUAAAGGUAGGAUUUCCAAGUUGUUAAGUACAAUGUUUUAGAUAUAAUGAAAAAUAAAAAUUGCAAUUUAUUUCAGAAAAAAAACUGUGAAUAUAAAAAUAGAGAACUUGUAUUAUAUGAUUGUGCACUUACAACUUUACAGGUUAAGCAUUUGACUAUCUGGGAAUCUGAUUGCAUUCCAGCUUGUACAAAAUGCUGCAAACAAUAAAGAGCAUAAAAAACAUAAUGAAAAAUGGAGUUUUACUUAUGGAUGGGUAAAAGAUAAUAGGCAGAAAUUCCAAUAAAAAAUAUUGUCCGUUGAGAAACCCACAGAAGCUACAUAAAGUGUUCACGUAAACAAUAUCGAGACUAGAACUAAUUGAUAUGGAUUUUUAAUUGAAAUAACGUAAAAAAUUGGUUAAUUUUCAAUAAAUAAAAGUCAUGAUGUCAAUUGUGAAAAUCCACAUGAAGAAGAAACAAAAAAAGUCCACUGAUUUUUAUUUUCAAUCAUAUGCGAUUGUAAUCAGCCAAUCAGGAACUAAAAGCCAUAGAGAUUUAAGCCCAUCCUUGAUAUGGUGGUAGCUAAACUGUUAAGGGCAUGUCUUGUUUAUAAAUCUUCGAUAUUCUCUAGGCAAGGCCUACUUCACUCUCUAAUGAAAAUUUAUCUUUAUAAAAAAAAUGUAAGUAUUUGAUAGAAAAUAGAAAGUUAAAACAACACUCACUAUAUAUUGCGGAAUUAGAGAAGCUCCAUACUUUGUUUUGAAUAUCACCUCUAAGCAAGUAACCAAGUUGCUUUCCAUUAUCGGUUCAUCUACCGUUUCCUGUAAUGCACUGAACCAGAACAAAGAUAGAGGGAAUUAAAAAAAACUAAACUGACUUAUGAAUUCAUAUAGUUUUGUGUGAACUCAAAUAGGGUAAAUCACCCAAAAAUAAAAAAUAAAAAAAAUCACACGAGACAGCUUCAUUUAGUUUGAAUUUUAAAAAGUUUGAUUUCCAUAUUAUAUGAUGAAUCCAUCAAGAUGAAGUAAAGACUGAAGAACACAACGUUCGUAAAAAAACUCAUAAAAAACUUCAAAUCAUGGGUUGGUUUAGUGGUAAAUGCGUCAUUGUUCAAUACUUGAAGUUAGAUACUUCAAUUGUAUUUGUAAUGCAUAUUAUGUACCCUAAGCCCUAAGGCAGUGAUUUUCCCGCUUCGAAUUUACACAAUGAUAAAUUAGGCAAAAUCUAGCAGUCCAGUAUGGUUUCUAACAAGGUAUAAAAACCGGUAACCAGUUCUUACAAACCGGUUAACCAGUGGGGGUAUUCUGUUAAUUUUACAAUUUUGAAGAUAAACAUAGUAUAGUAUAUAUCCUCUCUAUAGAAAAAACCCUGUUUAAACUUUAAAUUAUAAUAGUAAUAGAUAGCAAAUUCAAAGAAAACAGUAAUAGAAAUUCAUACGCAGUGGUAAUAGAAAUUCAAACUAAAACAUAGUAGUAAACUAGUAAUAGAAAUAUUCUAGUCUUCUAGAUAUUAAAAUAGUAGUCUCCAAGAAAUUGUAUUCUAGAUAGUCUUUAAACCUUUAAAAAAAAAUUAAACAGAGCAGGUAUUCCAGUGAGAUCCGACCCGAAUACUCGAUUGCCCGAUUCUACUAACCGAUCAUCAAUUACUAUUCCGGUCAUCGGUUUCUAAACCUUGGUUUCUAAAAUCAACAGAAUGAAAUUACACCAACCGGUAAAAGCCUGAUUAAAUGAUAAAAAUCCGAUGAACCUGAACAGGAGAGUGAGAGGGAACCGUUCAAGAAACUCCCUCACAGAAUCUUCAGUCUGCAUUCCUACAAUCCACGAACAGAGAAAAAUAUCGAGACAGUUAAAACACAAAAGAAGAAAGAGAGUGACAAGAUUUAGUAGAGUACCAGGGUAAGAAGCGAAUUCUGAAGAGGCCUCAAUCAGAGGAUCGAGAUCGAUCGAAGAAUCGCCUUCCAUUUCCGAUGAGGAGGAGGAAGAAAGGAAGUGGAGCUGUCAGCUGUGUAACGGCGCUGUGCGAGACUACAAGAGUAGUGGUGAUGACACGUUUUGGUUUUGGCUAAAUUUUUAAUUCUUUUCUUUCUUUUUGAGCUAUAAGGCCAGCCAGCGGUCGGCCCAAAAUAGAAAAUUAUAACUAAUCCACAAUCUAGUUGGGCCAUGAAGCCUUGAAUUUUUUUUCUACAACUUUUAGAAAGUAUCAUGUUAUCAAUUUUAUGAGUUAGGAAUCUAGGAUCAAAUGCGAUCAAAUUGGAUGCCUCUGGGUGUGCUCAUCUUAUCCUAGUUAUUCAUAAAGAUAAAAUAAUUGGUAUGGAUAGCUUGUCAAACGUAUCGAGCUGAGCUUUUGCUUAUAGAGCCGGACUCGGCUCGUUAAAGAAUUGUCCAAGUUCGGGCUCAGUUCGUUAAGAAAUUGUCCAAGCUCGAGUUCGGCUCAGAUCCGAUAAGCUUAAAAUUGGAAGAAAAAAAAUUGAAUAUUUUAAAAAAGAUUUAGAUUUUUAUUUAAGUUUUUAGUAAUUUAUUCAAUAAUUUUUAUUUAAGUUUUUUAUAAUUUAUUCAAUAAUUUUUAUCAAUUAAUAUAUAUAGGACAAGUUUUCUGUGUGUCGAUUUUCAAUGCAACAAAAAAUCCUGACUAUUAGAUCGACAUUUCGUCGUACAUAAGUUAGUGUCUUUUGUUGUACAUUUUUUUCGUCGUACAUGUGUUAGUGUCUUGUACAGUAUAUUAUUGUAGUUGUUGGAUUAAAAAUUAAAGGACAUAAUGCGCACGACGCAUUUUGACGCAUCGACGUACGACGCCCCUGAAAAUUACCGAAUAUAUACAACUUUUAAUAUUUAUAUUUUAUUUAAUUAUUAAGAAGCUCUUGCCGAGCUUAUCGAGCCGAAUUUGAAAAGUCUAAGUUCGAACUCAUCUCGUUAGGCUCACGAGUCCGACCUUAACGAACCGAGCUUUAGUUGACAUUCUAGGUAUAAAGUUUAGACGUUUCAAUAAGAUAAUAUAUUUAAAGGUUUAUUCUGUUUAUAGUCACAAAAAUGACAAAAUGUGGUUGGUAUCUAAAUUAAUUGCUCAAUUUUGACAUAGAAAUAAAUUAUUUGACCAUUCAAAUUUGGAUAAUAGUCCAAAUUCAACGUAUUUUUAUUUAUCUUUGACUGCAAAUUAAUAAUUAAUAACUCAAACUAUCGGUCAAUUCAACCAUGAAUUUCAAAGAAAUGAAAUAAUAUAACAUCUGAUCAUCUGAUCUUUAACUCAAAUUAAUACUAAUUUGUAAUGACUGAUGUUUUAUACUAAAAAAUUGAACAUGAUUGAAUAAGAUAACUGAUGUUAUAUCGCACAAAAAAAAUGAGUUCAACUGAUUUCAUUAAUUAUUAAAAUGGUUGAAAGUCUAAAAUUGUUGUGGAUAUAAUUUUCACGUGGUUCUGGUAUAUAGAUUUUUAUAAUCUAAAAAUGUUAUGAUUAAAUCUCAAUCAUUUUUUAAAAGUCAAAAAAUAAAAAAAUAAAAGAUAUUGACAAAAUACACAUGUGAUAUAUGCGAUGUUUCGUGUAUACCUCUCUCUCUCUCUCUCUCCAUGAAUAUGUGUGUGUGUUUUUUUAAUGUGUUUCCAUUUUUCCAUAACUUAUUAUUCAGUUAUUCUACUCAGUUCAGGUCACCGGAGUACGUUGUGGAAGUAUCAACAAACAGAAAAUGACCACCGGAGAUGAGAAAAUCAUGGAUAUGAAACUAUUGAAGGGAGUGAGAUCUGGUGACGUAUCUCAGUUGAAGAGUUUCGUCAAAUAUCCCAACAUUGAUAGUAUCUGCAUGUCGGUUACGGCUGGAAAGAACAACAUCCUCCACAUCGCCGCAAGAUCCGGUCGGAAAGAAUACGCGAUGGAAUUAGUUUCGCUUGUAAGUUCUUCCACGUUCCGGUCAUUGCUUAUUCAACCCGACUGCGGAGGCAACACUCCGCUCCACUGCGCAGUACUUGCUGGACACUCUGACUUUGUAUCCUUUUUGGUUUCCAAAAUGGAUGAUGUCGGGAUUGAGAAGAAGAACCAUCAGGGUGACACAGCUUUGCACUUGGCGGCUGCCAGAGAUUCCGAUGAGGAUUUGGAGAUUGUCAAGAUAUUGGUUGAAGCUUGUGAGGGGAGAUUGGGAUCGGAUGUUAACUACGCCGAGGAAUACCCAAUCUACGUCGCAGCGGAGAGGGGCGGUUUUAAAAUCAUGGAAUAUCUUCUUAAGUUUCGAGAAUUUCCGGCAACCGGUCCCGAUGGUAAAUCAGCUCUCCACGCGGCUGUGGCACGGAGUAGAGCUGCGAUAUUCUCCACACGUCUGGUUAAAGCGAGACCGGAACUUCUGACAAAACAAGACGACCGAGGUAGCACUCCACUUCACUACGUUGCUUCUUGCGGCGAUCAAAUGAUUACCAAGUUACUGUUGGCAUACGGAGACGAUCACGCAACAAAAUCUUCCGACAUCGAAGAAUACGGCACCGGUGGCUUAAAUAAUUUCCAUCUCUGGUCAAACCACGUUGCUCAUAUCUGCGACAAUAAGCAUAAGCCACCUAUCCAUGUCGCCGCCGUUAUGGGCCAUGUAGGGGUCGUAAAGUCAAUACUGGAAUCGAGACCAGAUGCAUGUGAGCUUGUCGACGACAGAGGUCGGAACUUCCUCCAUGUCGCCGUGAAACAUAAGAGAAUAAAUGUCGUGAAGUAUGUGAUCGAGGAAGAUGAGUUGAGAGAUUUACUAACGAAUCAGCAAGACAACAACGGAGACACUUCGCUGCAUCUGGCGGUGAGAAAUCACCAUCUGGAGAUCGUACGGCUUCUGUUGAAAGUUGAGAAAAUCGCCAAGCUUUUGCGAAACUUCCAGGGAAUGAAACCGCUCGAUCUGGCAGCUUCCGAUUUGAAAUCUUCUCAUAUGGAAUAUCGCAUGGUAAAAUGAAAUCUCUGUUUAUCAUCGUUUAAUUUUAUAUGUUGAUCACUGAUCAGAUCUAAUCAAAGUACAUUUCUGCAGUUCAAGGUGAUAAAAAAUCUGAUAGAGUCCGGGGCGGAAUUCAGCGCCAAGAGAUUGGACCUUGUGGUUGUGGAGAAUACGUCGGAUGCCAAUAAAAAACAGGAAAAGGAGGAGAUCGAACGUUGUAGAGCCAUCGCCGAUAACCUAACCAUAGUGUCUGUCCUGAUCGCAACAGUGACCUUCGCGGCGGCCUUCACUUUACCUGGUGGCUACAAAUCCGAUCCCGGCACCGAUGCGGGAAUGGCGGUGCUAACCAAUCGGAAUGCUUUUCAGAUAUUCCUAAUCUCCAACACACUGGCGAUGAUCACCUCCAUCGUCGUCACGUACCUCCUCGUCCAAACAAGAUCUCAAGACCACGACGUUCGUAUGCAGUCGAUCCAAACUUCGAGGGGGCUGAUGAAGAUCUCCAUCGCAGGGAUGUCGCUGGCAUUUGCGACGGGAACGUACGUCGUGAUCUCAACUGACUCCGAAUGGCUCGCCUUAGUCGUCAUCGUGAUGUCCUGCUUCGUUCCGAUCGCUCUCUACACGAUCAAGAUCUGGCCGUCGUGGUACCGAGUAGUGGUGAACGGGUUCAAUAAGAUGAUGAUGAAGGUGUUCGAUGGAGCUUUUGAAAUGCUGUUUGUUAGAGAAUUGGAGCUUCGUAGUAUCGGGAAAUGGAAGCCGUCGUUUAUCCGUCAGCAGAUUUCUCAGCGCAAGAGGAUCGAUCUAUGGCGGCCGAACAGUAUGACUUAUUUCCACACUCCCCAAGCAACGUUGGCGCCUGGACUCAAACCUUUCACGAUCCGUGAGUAUUAAAACUGACGGUUUGAACGGUUAUUUAAUUUGUAUUGAGGUUGAAAAUGUAAUUAUUUCAAAAAUUAAAAUAAAUCAGAGAACAAUAUAAUGAUAUAUAAUUAUUAGAUGUGCGACCUCGUGUGUAUUAGUACUUAAAUUAAUAAUAUUAAUGAACACGAUGACACACGAUGACACACGACGACUCAUUUCUUAUAAAAUAAUAUACCCCAAAGUGAAUUUCUUAUGAGAAUUACUGUUGUUUUCAAAAGUACUUGAUGAUGCCAAUCUUACCGUCAUUACCGGUCUGCUUCAAUUGAUCCAGCUUAAAAUUAACCUGUGUGUCGUACCCGACCCUCUGUCGAGAGUCGACCUUUAAGAAACUUAUAUAAACAUUAAAAACUACAAAUUUUAUUAACAAAUGGAGUUUUUUAAACCUAAAACUAAAUCAUACUUAAGUGAGAGUUAGAAUCCUUACCAAUUGAUGAACCCAAUAUGAACAACACUAGCUAGAAUAAUGAAGAGAGGAGGAGACCCACAGAUUACGACCAUGACAGUGCAAUGAUCUCAGGAAGGAAAAGUUGUUUUUUGUUAAGAAUAACGUUGCAACAAAAGUUCGGUAUUCGACAAACUAUUCGGUUCGUUUCGGUAACCAAACCCGAACCUUAAAAUAGAUUCGUUUAAUUAAACGAACCGAAUCCAAACCUUGGUUGAUGUUCGACGAAAUUCGGUUCGUUUAACAUUUUUAUUAUAUUUUAUAUUUAUAUUAUAAACUUAUAUUAUAUAAUUUUUUAUUAUAUAUUUCAUAACUUAUGUAUAUUUUUGUAAUUUUUCAUUAAUAUAGUAUAUUAAUGUUGAUUUUUAAUUAACAACAAAAAUAGAUACCUAAAGAUUGACUCAACAAAAGAAAAUAGACUAUAAACAAUGUUUUUUUAUUGUUUAUUUUUCAAAGAUGAUCAGAUAGACAUAUUUAUUUUUAGGAUAAUGUAAAAAAAAAUCCAAUAUUCGACGAACUAUUCGGUUCGGGUUUGAGUUCGAAUUCGAUUAGGUUCGAUUCGGUUAUUAAACGAACCGAAUCUAAACCUUAGGUAUUCGGUUCGGUAGGUUCGAGUUGCAACGUUAGUUAGGAGGCACACACCUGGAGGGCGAGCGCAUGUCGUCCCUAUGGAAAGAGAAGGAAGUCACCAGCCAGAGGACAAAUCUUAAGAGACUAACUUCAAGUGAGAUAUUUGACUUCGCCUGUCUGUUUUUCUCGAGAUAUGAUACUGGUCUGACCUCAAGAUGUAAUCCGUAAAAGACAAAAAAACUUAUAACAAUAAGAUGUCAUAUGAUAAUGGAUCUAUCAAUAUCUCACGAGAUAUCUUAUUUUGAAUAUUUCACAAGAAACAUUGCUUAUUAAAAUUUAAUUUAUUUUUUUUCUCAUCCAAUUGUUUCUCAAAAACACUAACAGUCUAAUAUCAUCCAACUCAAAUAAUUGAACCAAUGGCAUAAAUGUUAUUUUUUCCAACUUUAAUAGUAAUUAUUGUGAUUAUUGAUUAGUAUGUAAAUGGAUUUUUAAUUAAUCUAAAACAUGUCAUUGAUUCAUUAGUAUGAUUCUUUCAGGCACAUAGGGGUUAGAAUGUAAAACUAAAUUUUUGUCAGGGUGGAAAAUAUAAAAUUUUAUAAGUUUAUAGGGGAUUUUAUAUAAUUAAAAUUUAGAAAGUAACUUUUUACCUUACCCCUAAAAUCGUAUAUAUUGAAUUUCCGCAAAUCCUAAGACCUAAAACCCCAAAAUCGAAUUUCACAUCUUUUCCCCUAAAUUUCUAAAACCCUAGUACACCAACUUUGUUUUCUCCCAACCAGACUCCUGACGAUCUCUUCAUCUUAUUAUCUCCAAUCUGCAGGUAUUAUUUUCAAUUAUUUAGCGUCAUACAUGUAUAAAAUAAGUUAUGAUCAUGGUCUUCAAUCGAUUUUAAAAAACAGUACAUAAUCUCCAAUAGAUUAUUUUCCCAAAUCAAAUAAAAAUUUUAAAUUACUCAUAAUCAUAUAUCAUAGUUCAUAUAUUGUAUAUUUAAAACAGUACAUUGAUUUUUUAAAACAGUACAUUAUCUCCAAUCAAUUAUCUGAUCUUAUUUUUUAAUGUUAUACUCUUAGAAUGCGUCGGUUUUUUAAACCACUUAUUCAACGAUAAUCUGAAGAACCCCAACCCACAGAACAUCAUUAACCUAGUGAACCAAAUCAACCAAUUAACAUAAUUGAAUGCGAUGAGGCGAUUUUCGAAUCCAUAGAUCGUCCAAGUGAUCUGAGAUGGAAAAAGUAUUUGGAUGUCAAAAUUUUAAUUUAUAUUUCAAUUAUGUUUUUAGGUUGAAUUGCAAAAAACUUAAUGUUAUAAGAGGGUCAUGUCAAAAUUUGGUUGGAUCUAUUUAAUUAGCAAAAAAACCUCCGGCGGGGUUAUUAAAGAUUUAUCCAGAGUGCGUCCAAAUUCUGCCUAUGCCCUUAAAUUCAAUCUGGCAUAUCUGAAAAUGUAAUCAAUAAUAACAAUCAUCAAUUUUUUUCAAAACAUUAUAUCUGAUAUAACAUUAACAUAAACAAUAAACAAUAAAACAAAAUCUUAAUAACAAAAGAAAGAAAUUUAACAAAUGAAAACUAUCAUUAACUUCCCCUCUAAUACACUUCAAGAGAAACCGCUCUGUUUAUCAACUUCCCCUCUAUGUCCAAGAAUACCAAGAAAAGUAAGUUACUGUAAUCAAAUUGAAGUGUGUGUAAGUUUUGUUGUGUGUCAAAAAUAAGGUGAAUAACAUCAUUUCUGAGUUAUCCAUAGACAUCCAGUCUUCCUCCUCUAUCAUCGUUUAAUUUUAGAAAUCUUGAAUGUAGGAUUUUUUAGACCAUCAUCGUUGCUUUCCGGCCAUCUCCUCUCCAAUCCCAAAAAGCCUCCAGCCGUUCCUCUCCAACUCCAAGAAGUCUCCGAUCAUCUCCAACUCUUUAUUUCUCCAAGAUUCUGGUUAAUUAGCUAUUUUAUUAAAAUAACAGAAUUUUUGAUAGUCACAGAUUUUUUUUAAAUGACACCAAUUUUUAUCCAAUUAGUUUAUAGUUUAGAAUUUCAUUUAAUUAGUAGUAAAUAGUAAUGCAUAACAAGGUUUUUGAUUUGUCGCAUAUGCGACCAGGCGCUAACCCCCCAUCGCAUAUUUGGGGGGUCGCAUAUUAUGGGGCUUAGCCGGAUCGGAUCCGGCUAAACCCGAUCCAUUUACCCAAGUACAAAAUAUUAAAAUUGAAAUAAUUAAAUGAAUUAUAUUAUUUUUUUACAACUUAAGGACCUUAUAAAAAAUACCCAAUUAAAUAAAAAAUAUUUCUAAAUCUAAAAACUAAUAAGAAAAUACUCAAAAAAACCCUAAAUCCUAAAUCAGUUUACAACGAAAUCGACGAUCGACUGAAAACUACUGAAAAUCCUAAUCGACGAUCGACGAAGGGAGAAGGAUCGCCUAUCACGAAGGAAGGAUCGCCUAUCACGAAAUCGACGAAGGGAGAAGGAAGGAUCGCCGCUGCUUCCGCGAUUUCCAGAAAUCGCGUUUCCUGGCCGCUGCUUCCGCGAUUACAAGGUAGUUCAGAGUGGUUCCAGUCUGAAAAUUCUCAAGUAGUUCCAGUCUGAAAAUUAAAAUAGCAGAUGUUGUGUGCUAUUAGCUGUGAUUAACUAUAUUUACAGUCAAUUAACAACAAUUUGCUACAUUUUUUUCUUUUAACAGUUUCUAGUUAGUCUAGAUGGGUAUACCUAACGGGCAGUACUUUAUUUUGCAUAACACAUAUGCAUCUUAAGGUUAUUUUACAAUGAUGAUGUCUUUAAUCACAUCUGCACCUUGAUAUUUAUUUUGAUAUAAACUUGUAAACAAUAAAGUAAUAGCUAUGAGCUCAUCAAAUUGAGAAAGGAAAAGAUUGGUGUGUGCUGAUUUCAUUGAAUUUAGAAUAGACAGAUCGAUUGAGAGAACACAAAUGUUGUUGGUGAUUGAUUACUGGUUAUAGAUUACCAGUUUCUCUCUUUAAUACACAAAGUUAGGUAUUUCAGAGUGGGGUGGGCGAAUUUUCAUAGUAACAUCUGGAAUUAAAUCUGGAAUUCAGAGUGUUCCAGUCGGUGGAGUGUUAAAUUAAAUCGGGAAUUCAGAGCUAACAUCUGAAUUUUUUCCCUUAAAUUUCACAUAUUAAUAUCUGAAUUUGUUUUCUUAAAUUUCAGAGUUAAGAACAAAUUCAAACCAUGGAUCAUGAAGAAGAUGAGCCAAUGAAUGUUUUUGAAGAAAAUGUGGAAUUGGAUGACGAGGGAAACAAGAAAUUCAAAUGGCAUCCAUUAACCACUGAAGAAGAAAAAACAAGCCCAUUGAUGAGACCAAAAUCAAAUGAUCCGGCUUGGAAAUAUGGGGUUGUGGUGAAUAAAGACUCAAACAAGGUGAAGUGUCUUUUCUGCCAUUUCAUUUCGAAAGCGGGGAUUGCUCGGUUGAAAGGGCAUAUCAUUGGAGGCGACCGCAAUUGCGUGAAGUGUCUAAAAUCAACAAAAUUUGUUCGAAAUGAAGUGCUUCAGUAUGAGAAUACGAGGAAGGCUAAAGCAAUGGCAAUGAAAAUGUCUAAGAAAGUUGUGGACGAAGAAUCUGAUGAUGAUGAUGUAUUGAUAGUUGAAGAUAAUUCUUCACUUCCGAAGAGAGCAAAGAAGCGGUCAACUAUUGUGAAGCCGUCAUUAGGUUCAUCAUCAGGUUCGAACCGUUCGAUCAACGCGGCCGUAGGUGCAUUGUCCUUGAAAGAAGGACAGAAAUUAAGUGACAUUGUGAGAUCUAGAAUGGGAGCAAAACAACCACUAAUUGUUGAGCAGUUGAAAAAAGAUGAAAGGCUUAUUGUUGAUAUCUGUGUGGCGAAAUUCUUCUACAACGCCGGCAUCCCUUUCAAAAAAACCGCUUUAAACGCUUAAGCGUCGCUUUUUAAACUAUGGUUUGAAGGUAUGGUUGGAGUUAUACACCUCCAACUAUCAGUAGAUUACGCGGCUCUCUUCUAAAAGGUGUGGUUACAAAAAUUGAUGAAAUGAAGAAAGACCACGAAAAAUGUUGGUGUCUAUCUAGUUGUUCUCUCAUGUCUGAUGGCUGGAUGGAUAAGAGGGGAAGAUCAAUUAUCAACUUUAUAGUUAAUUCAAGCAAGGGUUCAUUCUAUUUCUACUCUAUUGACGCUUCAGCCGAAACGAAAACUGCCGAUUACAUUGCAUCUACCUUAGAUAAAGCGAUGCAAAAGAUAGGAGUCAAAAAUGUUGUUCAAAUUUGUACAGAUAAUGCGAGCAACUACGUUAAAGCUGGGGAGAAACUAAUGGAGAAAUAUGAUCAUUUGUAUUGGACCCCUUGUGUCGCCCACUGUAUUGAUUUGAUGUUAGAAGACAUUGGGAAGAUUAGCUCUCUGAAGAAUGCUAUUGUGAUGGGUCGUAAGAUCACAAACUACAUUUACAAUCAUUCAGUGAUACAUUACGAGUUUUUGAAAAAGUCUAACAACAGAGAGCUAGUUCGUUGUGGGGUUACUCGAUUUGCUACAUCAUUUUUCACCUUGCAGAGCAUUAAGAAACAUCGAGAUGCCUUAAGUGCAUUAGAUUGGCGUAAAUGGAUUGAUGUUGGGAUUGGACAACAGAUUCAUGGUCAUAUCUUCAACAGUAUUUUUUGGAAAAAUUUAGAUGAUUGUAUGGCAGCUUCUGAACCAUUGGUGAUUUUGUUGAGAUUGGUUGAUGAAGAUAGUAAACCAUCAAUGGCAGAGGUCAUUCCUCGUUUGGAAGUUGCAAGAAAAAGAAUUGAAACUCACUUUGCAAGUAAGCCGGUGAUGUUGACUAAACUAAAGGCGAUUUUCACCAAGCGUUGGGACAAACAUUUUCAGAAGCCUUUGUUUGGAGCUGGUGCAUUUCUAAACCCCCAUUUUUACUACGAUUUGAAGGAGGGGUAAGCUUUUUACCUUUUUUUUUAAAGGUUUCAACUUUCAAAGACUAAUUGCUUACUUUUGAAAUAGAUCUAGAGAAGGGCUUAUAAAGGCACUAAGAUAUGAAAAAGAUUUCAGAGAUUGUAUGCUAAGAAUGACACCUCUUGAAGAGCAUUCACAAAUCAUGGAACAACUCAUUUGUUACAAGAAUAAAACAGGUGACUUUUCAAUGAAGGUAGCCAUCGACACGCUUCCAACAACGGAUCCUAGUAAGUGAUUUCAGAAUUUAAGAUUGAAUUAUUAAAAUCUUACUUAGGCAGUUAGGGGUGUCACUCACUAUGUUUGAUUUCAGUAAAUUGGUGGUCUAACUUUGGGGUGUCAACUCCGGAAUUGAUGUUGUUGGCAACGAGAAUCAUAAAUCUUACUACGACAGCUUCUAGUUGCGAGAGAAACUGGAGCAAUUUUGAUUUUGUAAGUACUUGCGACUUUGAAUACAAAAUCAAGUAUGCUUCUGUGAUGUAAAUGAAAUUUCAAAUUAUUAUUUUUUCAUCAGAUUCACACCAAAAGAAGAAAUCGUUUGGAAGUUGAUCGGUUGCACAAGUUGGUUUAUAUUAACUACAACGAACGUUUGAAAGAUCGAUUUCUGAAAAUAAAUCGAAUAGACGAUAAGACCUAUGAUCCCAUUGCUAUAAGUGAUAUCAAUUACUCUAGUGAAUGGGUAACGGGUGUCGAUGGAGCAUCUGGUGAAUUUGUCUACGAAGAUGGUGGUUUGACAUGGGCUAAUGUAUGGGAAGCUAGUGGUGUGCCCGAGCAUGAAGGACCAUCAAUAAGAGCAAGAAGAAAUGUCAAUGAAGAUGAUGAAGAGUUUUUGAUGGAUCCGCACUUGAAUGACGUCGAAGAUGAACUUGACGACACACUUAGUUAGAACUUAGAACUUAGAACUAAGUGUUUGAAUUACACUUGUACUUUGAUGUUUGAAACUAAUAGUUUUGUUGUUUUGAAUGUUUCUUUAAGUUUUUGAGAUUUUAAGAGUUUAUCAUUAAUCACUAUAUUAUUUCAAUUAUGAUUUUUAUUAUGACUUAUAAUAUCAGGGAUUUAUUUAAAAUAUAGAAAAUACAGGGGGUAUAUUGAAAAAAAAAAAUAAAUAAAAAAAAAUAAAAUAAAUGUCGCAUAUUGGACCGCAUAUGCGACCAGGCGGUCGCAUAUGCGGUAUGCGGUCCCAGGCAUCACCUGGUCGCCUGGCCGCGUGAAAAAGCUUGAUGCAUAAUAGAUAAUACAUCAAAUAAAAAUAAUUUCUUCAUUUGUACUUAAAUUACUUCAUUGAAUUUAUGUACUUCAGAUUUCAGAACAAUGAUUUCAAAGAUUCAACCAUUUGCUCUAAGUGCUUCUCCAAGAUAUCCAAAUUCAAUAGCAUGGUCAGAAGAAAACCUCUUGGCUGUUUCUAAUGGUCAUAUGAUCACCAUCUUGGUAUGAAUGCUGAAAAACAUAUGUUUUUUAUAUAUAUUCUUGAUGAUUUCAACUGAAUUAUAAUUGAUGCACUGUCAUUAUAGUUACUUAUGUUAUCUGUCAUUACUCACAGAAUCCUUCUCUGAUAUCUGGUCCACGAGGAUUCAUCAUACUUCGUCCAGACAAACCCUUCCCUUUAGGAUUGGAUCAAAUACAAGGUGAGUAUCUAUUGGAGUGUUUAAUAUGUUCUUUUAUGUAUUAUUUACUAAUCACUGAUAGCAUAUGAAUGGUAAUAUAGAGUCUUAGCCCUUUUUUACCUUACUUGCCUUUUUUUGUCAUUGUUAUGAAUUAUAGAUCCUCACGAUCCAUGCUUAUUACCAAUGAUUUUAGCAUGUGGAACUCCGUUGCCACGUGCUCGAUCUAUCUCCUGGUCUCCAUCAGGUCUCGCUCCUAAUUCAGGGUAAUUAACUGGAAUCUAUUACGUUUGAUUAAUUUGAUGUCAUGGCUAACAUUUUUCUCCAAAUUUUGUUACUCAUAUCAAUCUGGGGGAAUGUUUUUUUUUAAUAAAAUCGUUGCAGAUGUCUAUUAUCUGUGUGCUCUGCCAAAGGAAGUGUCAAAAUUUACUGUUUCCCACGUUCUAAUCUUUGUGCAGAAUGGACAGAGGUAAGUGAUAAAUUUUGUAUCUAACUAUGGCAUUAUGAAUUGAAUUAUUUUUUCACAUCCCAUGCCCCCCCUAUCACAAUGCCACUCCACUGAGGCUGUACCGGUGGGAGAAAGCUAAGAUGGUCAGUAUUUUUGGUUCUCCUAACGACAAGGAAAAAUCUAUUGGGUGCUGGAAACCCCUUCCCUCUUUGAAAACAAUGUUUAACAGGGAGAGGAAUCACAGAUUUUUAUUUUUAGGAAUAACCCCAUCCAUCAAAGAGCAAUAGCAUGAAGAUUUAUGAUGUGCAGUGAGAAUUAUGAGACACCACCACAUUGUUUCACUGGUUGAAAAUCCUUCUAGACUCUUACUGUUCAUUACAGGUUAAAUACCAGAGAUGUACUCGAUGUGGGAAGCUAGGUACUUAGGUCAUUGGAUGGCAAAGUGCACCAUCGAGUUGGUCCUUCCAACCGACCACAGCCUGAGCAUGCAGACACAAAGAGACAGACAAAGACAAUCCAUAAUUCUGAAAAGGUUGUGCAUUAUGUAGAUUGUAUCUAGAUCUAUUAAAAUCAAACUCGAAUUCAGUGGAUUUGAGAUUGUUCUUCUAAAAAAGCGAAAAGCGCUUCCACUUUUCAGGAAGAGCUUUAAGCGCCCAGGGGUAUUUUAGUAAUAUUCUGUAAAAAUACAUAUAAUCCUAUAUAAAUACACAAAAUUUAUAGAAAAUUAAAAAUACUUUAUAAAAUCACAUGUAAUAUAACAUUAAAUAUUUAAUUCAUACAUUUAAAAUUAAAUCCAACUACAAUUAAAUCCAACUAAAAUCUGAAAAUGGGGUAAGAGUUUUUAAUUUAAGUUAGAAUAGAGGGGUAGAACAGGAAAAUAAGGCGGAUCUUUACCCAAACCCGCCCGAUUACCCGCUCUAGGAAAAGAGCUUCUCCAAGAGAGCUUUAGAGCUUUAGCGCGCUUCAAGCGUGCUUAAAGCAGUGCUUUCAAAACUAUGGGGAUGGAGAUGAAGAAUUGAAGAUUAAGCAAGAGAAAGGAGAUUGUAUUCAUUGGAAUUCACCUAUCGAUAAUACUCAGAAAAUAGUAGAGAAAACAAAAAAGAAACAGGAUGACAGAGAUAGUAAACAGUAAUAAUACCAGUAUUGGGGUAAUGAGUAAAAACUGCCUCCUCUGUCUUCUAUUCUUCCCUUUAUACUCAUAUUGUGUAUGAAUGGAUUUACACGAUGUGAGUUCAUAAUAAUUAGGAAGACUGAGCUUGGACUCGAAUUGAAUCAAGCCCAAGAUCAACUACAUUAACCAUGUUAUUUACUUAUUUACUACAUCAGUGCAGACGGUUGGUAAUGUAGUAGAUGAGGCACAAGAAAGUAUCAAAGAUUGGGAUGCAUGCUUUUACGCCUGUGCGCCCGCAAAGGGUGAUGCAGAUCCGGGUCUGAUCCCCCUUAAUUUAAUUAAGCCUAAUUUAAUUAAUUAAAUUAGGGGUCUGAAACACAAAUCACCCCUAGCACUCUUUCCACCUCCAGUUCUCCCCUAUUCCAGCCUAGGCGACCUCCGGUGAGCUUGAUUUGCACCAGAAAAGAAGAAAUCUAUAUAUAUAUAAUUACAAGUAUGUCACGGUUUUUUCCUUUUUUAUGCUAAUACAAAUAUGACACUGGCGCAAAAGCCCCUAGUGGCGGUGCAUCGCGUAAAGGCGCAUUCCGAACCUUGACAAGUAGAGCAGCUUAUCGCAAGCUUUUUCAUGCGUCCAUACGGUCAUGCUAUGGCCAUACAGAGGGUUACUGCUCUGAUAGAGAUCGCGAUUAAAUGGGUUUUCCCAAUAGAUAGACAGACUUUUAUUAUUUUAGGGUUAGGGUAAAUGGGCUUUUGGGAUAGGAGGAUCCGGGUGCAUGAAGACAAACGCCUACAUGCACUGGAGCGCAUGGUCGCAUAUGCGACGCCUAGGCGUUGCAUGAAAAAGCUUGGCUUAUCGUACUACCAGUCACGACUCACGAGUCUAUAGAGCCUAUGGAAUGAUACUUUGUAACUCUGGACAUAACUGAAAGUUUCUGCAACAAUACUGUUUCAAAUCUGCUCCUAUGCUCCAGCAUGUGGUCCAUUUUGUCUAGCAAAGAAGAAGACAACAACUCUAAGUAUGGCAUUGUUAUACAAGAGCAUGACAAAACAACAAUGAGUGGUUGGGAUGACGAGGACCAGAUGAAAACUCGCGUGGAGUCCCUUGUGGAAAUUGCAUGCUAGUGGAGCACUUUGCCGUCCCCUGUGGAGCAAACAAGAGAUUAAUUUGGAAAAAGGAUGGUCUAAAUGGGAAUUUAGGAAACACUAUCCAAAACAUAAGAAAAUCCAGUCACAAAGACCCAUUGGCAGAGAGGAUCUGGUCUCACAUGCCCUCAAAAUUCUCAAUAAUAAUAUAAUAUUAUGGAGAAUUAUGUGGUGCUUGCUAACAACCUUUUCUAAGCUACAAGGAUGGGGAAUUAACACUCAAAUUGCCUGCUUGUUGUGCGAAAAGAAAACUGAAUCAAUAGGACACCUAUUCUUUAAUUGUGAUUUGUCAGACACAUCCUUACACCCUAACCCUACAACAGAAAUACCUUACUGGCCAUAGCUGAAGCACUAGGAAACCUAUUAUGGAAGGUAUCAAACACCUAUAUCCCAACCAGCCUUCACAUAGACAUUCAUAGAGGCAUGCCAAAAAUUCACACACCACUCAGCUUGCUGAGCACUGGAAUGCAUUGGGAAGUCUGUCAUGGCACAUCUAGAAAGAACAAAACAGAACACCAAAGAAUCACUGCCCUAGAGAUUGUGGUUAAGGAGAAAAUAACUUUAUGCAGGAGUUUAGUAAGAAAGAAUGUUUAAGCCUCAAGGGACGAAUUACAGUUUUUGAAACUGUGGGAGGCUUCAAUUCUGAGGGAAACUUUUGACUUCAGUCUCUCGUUCAAACCAGAGCAUUACAAGAAGAGCCGCUAUUAUCCAGUAUCCACUGGAGAUUGCUACUCUGCAAAGCUGGGAGAUCAACCAAUCUCCUGAGGUAGAGUGUGUAAUUUUGGGCACUACCUCUUCAUUUCUAAUGAAAAUCUUUAAUUUCAUGCAUAUGAAUCUACAUCCUAUAAGAAGCACAAUCUUUCACAGAUUGAAGUACAAGCUAUACGCUCAUGGGAGUCCAACCUCUUGAGGCUUCAGUCCUUGGCCAGUUAGUCAGGGUCAUAGCUAUAUAAGAGAUAGACAAUGUUUUUACAUUUACUGUAUUUGCAUUUCCUUAUAUUCUGUAAUCUUGGGCUAUGUCCAACCUCCUUUUUCAGUAAUGAAAGUUUUGAUUUUUCAAAAAAAAAAAACUUUAAUUUCAUGGGAAUUUUUUUUCUGAGGAAACUUUCCUAGUUUUUUUUUAAAGCAAUUAAAUUUUAUUAAGAAAAAAGGGCAAUCCCAAGUUACAUAGAGUAUAGAAAUAAAAACAGAAGUAAAAAGAAAUGAGCAAGAAUCUCAUUGACUCUCUCUCAUUAACUAUGUAGUAUAGUUAUACAGUAACUAGAUACGCUGCCUGAGGAGGUUGGUCUCCCAUACUUUCAUCAUAGAUGUCUCCAAAGGGUGACAACAAUUCUUCUUGUAAUACUCUGGAUCAAAAGAGAGACUGAUGUCUUUAAUGACCUUCUUAAGGACUACCUCAAGAGGCCUACUAACGUAAUGUAUGUAUCUUUUAUUUUUUUCCGUCCAUAUAUGUCAUGACAAACACCUAAUAGCAUUCCAUAAUAGCCCCUAAAGGGGAGAGUGGUGCGUAAUUUUUUACGAAGCCGUCAAAUCCCCCAAUCUAAUAUCUGGAUUGGAUUGGGUGGGAACUGGAAUAUUCAUUAUUUUCUAGAAGGCGAGUUUCAGGUGCUCAACCAACAAAAUUAAGAAAGAUCUGGAAUAAGAACAGUUGAAGAAAAGAUGACUCUUAGAUUCAUCUUCCAGAUUACCAAGGUAUGAGUUGCGCCAUAGCGCGUAGUGUCGGCCACCCACGCUAUGGGGAUAUAGCGUGCUAUAGCGCGCUAUAGAGCCUCUAUAGCGCCAAGUGUAUUUUUAAAAAUUCUAGAUAUAUACAAUAAUUAGUGAUCAAGUUAAAUCAAUAGUUUUAGAAAUGGGGAGAAAUCGUGAGAUCUGGAAGAGAAAUCUAUAUAAAUACUAACCCUAUUUGGGUGGAUCCUAACCCGAAUCCUCCUAAAGGUCCAUUUCCCAUAGCGCGGGUAGAUAGCACCGUCUACCCGCGCUGUGGGGUAUAUAGCGUGCUAAAGCGCGUGCUACUCAAACAGUCAAACCUUGCAGAUUACAUAACAAGCAAGCAAGAGAUACAUGCACUUUCCAACUUCUUAACUUCCUGAACGUGUUUAGGUGAUCCCAUUUCACCCUCCACAAGAGAAUAAAGAAUUUUGUCAGCAUCUUCAACCAAAUUCCCUCAGUUAACAUAUCUUUAUGCUUUCUAUCUCUAAUACUUUCCACCAUUCCCUCCAACUUGCUUAUCGGAGUACCAGAUCUCCACACAAUCGUACUAUCGGCCCUACAAUCUAAACAUUUAUCCACUAGAUUCCUUUAUGAGAUAAAAGCUUUCCAGAAAUGCGAAUCCACAGUAGGCCUGAUUUGAAUAUUAUUAAGUGUUUCCCCCUUAAUAUACCUAUCUUGGAUCCAUUUUACCAAAAUAGAAUCACUCUUAUCCCAGUACUUUGAGGCUCUUUUAAUAUUGGUUGCAGUAGUGAUAAUAGGUAGGUCUCUAACCCCUAGACCCCCUUCUGCCUUAGGAAGGAGAAAGGACCAUUUGGGCCCAUGGGAUCCCUUUUCUUCCAUCCCAUAUAAAUUUAUAGGCUAACCUUCUCACAUUUUUAGCCACAGAAUCAAUGAUAGCCAUACCUUAUGCCCAAUAGGUAUAUUUUUCAGCUAUUAUCCAAUUAACUAGUUGUAUUCUCCCUCCACAGGAAAGACAUUUUCCACUCCAUCUUGCCAAGAGCACCUUUAUUGGCUGGAUUAGCUUCCAACAUUGUCCAAAUGACUUUUUCUUUCCCAUGAUUGGUAACCUUAGAUAUGAUAUGGGUAAACUUUUAACAAUAUAUCCUAAUAUGUCAUGCAAAGAUUGGUCUUCUGCGCAUACUUUCGAGAAGGUGGAGGAACUCUUGUUCGCAUUUACUUCUAAUCCGGAAAACAACGAGAAUUUCUCAAGCAGCGUCUCAAUUGCAUUAAGCGAUUUCGGGUUUGCCUUUGAGAAGAUGUGGAUAUCAUCCGCAUACAUAAGGUGAGAUAUAGAAGUAACACCAUUAACCUGAUAAGUGUCUAUCCUUUUGUUCUUCACUUCACUCUGUAUCAAUCUACCUAGAAUGUCCAUAAUCAUGUCAAAUAGAACAGGAGAUAGAGGAUCACCCUGCCUAAUCCCCCUCUGGCUUUUGAAAGGAGGUGUUGGAGUCCCUUCCACUAAAACCGAGAAUGAAGCAGAGGAUAUGUAAUUCCAAAUCAAUUUGCAGAAUAUAGGAGAAAAUCCAUAAAAUAGGAAUAAUGUUACAUAAUCACUAGGAAAGUAGGAAUAACGUUAGAUCAGAUAUGAGUUUAUAGGCAUGUCCAUCUCUCACUUUAUUUUUUUAAUUUCCGAGUUUUUCCUACAUUUUAAUGGAUUUUAACUUCAUAAAAUAAAAUUAGAAUAUUUUCUGAAAUAACUGUUUUAUUUCUUUAAUAGGUUGUUGACAUUUCUGAUAUGUUGUGUCAUUUUUUUUCUAAUACCAACUUCAGUUUCCUUUCAACAAAUUUUUUCCAUGUAAGACUUCGCCCCUUUUAUUAUUGAUUCGGUAUAUGCCACUUAUUGCAUGUUUAUAUUUUAUUAUGCUAGCAUAAUCUCUUUUGUUCACUCUUCUGAGUGUAUUAGCAUAUUGUUGAUACGAGUGUGUGUGUUUUCUUUUUAUAAAUACAGGACUCUGGCAUAUCUGAAAAUGUAACCAAAGAUGACAAUCAAAAAUUUAAAUCUGGCAUAACAUCAACCAAAACAAUAAAAAAUGAAGCAAGAUCUAUCAAAAGAAGGAAAGUAAAUGAAAGCUUUCCUCAACAUGCCUCAAGAGAAUAUGCCUCUCGCAGUGCUUUAGUAGAAUCCCAUUAUUGUGCCUGGUCACCUAUAGUGCAUUCAUUUUCAGGAUGCAGUUUGGACCAUACCAACAAACUCCCCAAUAAGUGUGCUAUACUUGCAGUGGGGUCAAAAUCUGGCCAUAUUUUUUUCUUUAGGGUUGAUAUGCCCAAAUCUUGCAACAUUGAAGAUGGAAAUUCUGUUAAAGCAGUACUUGUUGGAACACUGUCCGCCCAUAAUUCAUGGAUCACUGCUAUUAGUUGGAGUUUAUCGAAAUCAGAUUCUUCAAAUCCCCACUUGAAUUUGGCCACUGGCUGUUCAGAUGGAAGGUAAGAGCAAAUGAGCAAUCAUAUGUAAUGUUUUUUUUUUCCAUUAAUGAGAAAGUUAAGUAGUUAACUACGAGUAUAGACUACUAAUUCACUUAGUUAAUUAGCGACAUUAAAGUUAUAUCUAUAAAGUAUAAACAUGGUCAGUAAACUAGUAAGUUGUUUUAUUAAUCUUUAUCAAUCAUGGUUAGUAAACGUGCACAGCUCCAACCAUGAUAGAGGAUAAUAGGAUAUUGUAUUAUUAUCAAUCACUAUAUAUUUCUCUUUUCCUUCUCUUACAUUUCAGCACUUCAAAAUCUUGUUGAAUUUUAGUGUUUUUAUAUUUCAGUGUUAAGUUAUGGGUGGGGGCUAUUAGUGGUCUUGCUGGCUCUUUUGAGGUUAACAACGCAUGCUUCUCUCUUUUAAAGGAGGUAAAGUUUUUAUCUUUAUUUUUAAAUUAAAUUUAUUAUAACGAUAGUUCAAUAAAAUUAAUGUUUUUUUCUUCAGCUCGUACCAGUCAAUUCUGUGCCAGUCUCAACAAUUUCUAUGGUUGUUCCCGCUAUCGCUCUUGAUAAGAUUAUUCUAGCUGUUGGAAAUGGAUCCGGAUGUUUGGAAUCAUGGGUAUGUCAUGCAUCAAGUAGAAAAUUUGAAAGCUCUGGGAUCUGUCGUGCCCAUGACUCAGUGGUAUGUUAUCUCUCGUACAACUUCAUGAACGUAAAUUUUUCUUUCCAAUAGAAAUUCGGAUAUUGGGGUGCCAAAUAUUUCAUGUUGCUUUUUGAUGAAUUAGGUUACUGGUCUUGAAUGGACAUUCAAUGGUGACUUUUUAUAUAGUUCUGGCCAGGUAGUGAUUUUUUUGUUUAUUUUCCAUGUAUUAUUUUUUUACUUUUCUUUUUAUGAUCACAUUGUUAGUUUGUUACCACUAUUUUUCCUUUUUUGAAUUUUAAAAACUGAUGAAACUUUGUCAUGAGAUAUGAUAGGAGGGGUCUCUGCGUAUAUGGGCUUUGUGUGGGAGAUUGUUACGUGAAUCAUCUUUUCCUAAUAGCACACCAAAGAUCAAACCACCAAACAACGUAUGAUGCAUUCCAUUUAUCUGUGAUCCAUAUCGUAUACUCUUAAAGGUUUGAUUAAUUUUAACUUUGUUUUGUUUUGUUUUGUUUUGUUGCAUUUGCAAUUUUAUAUUCAGGUUAUAGAACUUUCAGACCAUUGUUACGGUCUGGCACUCUCUCCUGGAAAUCUGAUGCUUACUUUUGUAUGUACUUUUUUCAGUUUGCUUCUAAAAUAUAAUUUUUAAUUAUAAUGAUAAUCUUAUUAUUAGCUUAUUACAUCUUUUAAUAAAAUAGCCAAAUCAUAAUUUAAAAAAAAUGAUUAAAAUCAGGUUCAUGAUUUCGAUAGCGAAAAAUUAAAUCCAAUGUAUCAGGCCAGGUUUGAUACUUUGAUCUCAUUUUCUGUCUGGUUUUGACUUUUGAAUAUCUUAAUUUUUGAUUCUCUGACAUUGCAACUAAUUAAACUCACCUUUCUCUUCCCUAUUAUAAACCAUAGGAACCAGAAAGCAGGAAUUCAUUUCUUAUGGAUGGGUGGUCGCUUUGAGGUUUCAUCAGACAAAACAAACCUCGAUCGUAAUAUGUAUGGUUUAUCUAAUUUUUUAGACAAAGAAUUAAUGAGGUGGCAAUCAGAUAUAUUAUCUUCGUUAAAGAAGUACGAAGAUGCUGACAACGAUUUAGUCCUUUGGGAUAUCUUGUUAGUUUUAUCCAGUUUCAAGAAAUUAUCACCUAAAUUUGCCGAGCAUGUACUUUGUGAGUGGCUUUCUAGUUGGUUCCCAAACUUACCAUCAAAAUCAUCCAUCAAGAAUAUCUUAUAUCAUGCUGAAAGUUUGCUUUCAAUUCUGACUACUCGCAAAUUACACCUUCUAAGUAUUAUGAGCAGACGGUUGAUGCUUGCAGAGGUAUUACCAGAUAGAUGGAGUGGAUUAGUAUAUGAUUAUGUAGAAGAUUGUCAGAAUGAUGAACUAAGUUUGUGGAAAAAUCUUCUAGCUGAAAUUGAAAAGGAGCUGUGUAAGAGGCUUUUGAGUUUUUUCUUGAAAGUUAAUAUUUAUUUUGCUUCUCAUCCUUUUGCCAAUUGGGUUCCAUUUUCAACCAUUCAUAUGGAACAAUGGGCUAAUAUGGCAGCAACUUCAGAUCGACUUAAACUACUUAUUACAGAAUCCAGAGGAAUUAGCUGCAGGUAUUAUGGUUAUUGACUGUUUUAUAUAUGACAAUAUGUAUAUUAAAGCUAAGUAUCUUAUCUUGUUCUUCAAUUUUGCCAGAGACAAAGAUGACGAUGAAAAGUUGAAUGAGACCUGUAGUAUUUGUUCAUCAUCAGUUCCCUUUGAAUUUCCAGAGUACGGAUUCUGUAGGAACACAAAGAAUAUGCACAAACUAACAAGGUGUUCUGUGUCCAUGAAGCUUUGCAGAGUCACCAAGUUUUUAUGGUUUUGCAUGUGCUGUCACAGGUAUUCUGAGAUAUCAGUUCCAGUAUCAUUCUUCACAAUGCUCACAUCUCCAUUAGAGGCUAAUUUUAUGGUUCUAGAUUCAGAUUUGAUUCUCGACUGUUCUAAACCCAUGUGUCCAUUCUGUGGAGUUUUCUUAUCAAGACACCAAUCUGAGUUCCAUCUUUCUAUAUCCCCUGUCUAGAUAACAUUUUUUCUUGUUUUCUCUCUUUCAUUAACCUAUUCAUAAUUUUUUGAUUGAUUUCAUAUAGGAUAUUUUUUAUUAUUUAGAAUCAUAGGUAAAAAUGUAAAAUCAAGUUUAUUUGUAUUAUAUCGACAUCUAUUGUCUAAUGAUUAAUGUGUAUUAUAUUUUUGAAAUUUCACAGUACAAAACUACAAAUUUAGAACUUUCGUGUCCUAAUUCACAUUUGAUUAUCAUUAGUAUGCCAAAAAGUAGCAGUGAAAACAAGACAGGUUGUGGGCAGUGCAACUUUGAAGAAUUGGAACAAGAUUGGGGCGGCAUUGUCUCUUGUCCGGCCUUGUAAAGCAAAGUUCGGGACCUAGUUGUUAAAUAAGAAGACAAAAUGAAAAAAGUGGCAUUCCAUUAAUACCCAAAUAAAAGAGUUCAACCAUCAAAUAAAUCCAUAACAAAUUUAAUGUUUACAACAUAUUGAAGUAGAAAUUAAGGAAAAGAUGAAAAGAAAGAUGCACUACCAUAUUCAUGCGCAAUAAUUUUGGUAACGGAAAAUAUAUCAGAAUCACAUAAUAUAUGAUCAGUUACAUGACUUACAUCGUAUUAAAAAUUAAAUUAAAAUACACAGUGAGAUUUGAACCCAAAAAUCAUUAAAUAUAUAUAGAAUAAUUUUCAAAUGAACUACUAUUAAGUGAGUCCGAAAACUCAUAUAAUCCUGACUAUUCAUUUAUUUUAUCUUAAAAAAAAAUUCCUCCAUCUUGCACUAAUCUCGAGGUUGAUAAAGGUUUACAAAAAAAAUUAAAAUGAAGGACUCAGAUUAGACGAGCGUCUUUUAUCUCAUAAAAGAUGAGCUUUUAUGAAAUUUCUUCUAUAUAUUAUAUAUUUGAUAGCGAAAGAUAUUUUUUUAUAAGUAAAAAUAUUUACCUUCAAAUGAUAUAACAGAGUCACAUAAUAUAUCAUAUUGAUGAAAAUUACGUAGAUUCGUAAUUUAAUUUUUCUCUGUCAAUUUUUUUUAAUAAUAACUGUGAUUAAUGAGUUACAUAAUGGAGUAUAAAUACAUGCACAUAACAACCUGAGCCCAAUAAUGAAAUUGAUUUAAAUGUGGUCCCUUUACAUGAGUUGGCACUCAACUCACUUCCAAAAUUCAUGUGCUAAUGUUUAGGAGAAGUUAGCGUAUCAAUUUGUCGUCCCGCUUUAAAUUCAUCGACGGAUUUCUUACGUUUCUUAAUUUAUAGAGAAAAAAAGAACAACCUCGAAUAAAUCAUCAUCUAUCGAUCGAUUUAUCAACACCUCCAUCAAGUUCAUUGGUUCCCGUUAGGGACCACAUUAAAUUUGAGGUGUAGUCUGCAAUUCAAGUUUCUUCUUCAUCAUCAUCAUCAUUGUCUUCCAGCUAGAUCCAGAGACAUCCAAAUUCAUGAAAUUAAACCCCAAUUAAUCAAUCAACUGAUCAAUUAAGUGACUCCCCUGAGUCAAGCAAUAACUUCAGAUGUAAGGAUUCAUUAUUUUAUUUAUUUAUUUAUAAGACAAGCUUUUGGUGUAUAAUUAUUAUUUGAAUCAUUUAUUUUUCACUUUGAAAUUGAAAAUAAGAUUUUUUUUUGAAACAAAACCAACUGAUAAUAUAAAUUCCGAAACAAAAAAAAGGGUGUGAUCACAUGCGAUCCACCCCACACCCUCCGCAUUGUUCCAACCCCGGAUCUUACGAUCAUUUGGGUCCACUAUACAUAAGUGAUUCCACAUAUCGGUUCUACUUUAAUAAUAGAGUCCACCCCCUGGGGGAUAGAGCUCUAUAUGGAUAUAACUUUUUGGUCAUUCCAUUUACCAAUUUGUCCCCUCCUGUAGUAUUUGGCAAAACAGGGUUCUAUUUUUAGUUGAACCCUAUCCCACCAUAUACCUCAGUUUUAGUUUCCCUUAAUACAGGUUUCUAUUAAAAUACGAUUACAGACUCAAUAUCAAAUAUGAAGAAUUAAACAAUUUUCACGUUAUCGCCAACUGGGCACCUUCGGUCCAUAUAUCCAUCCAUCUCUGUUCCCUUCUCGUAUAUACCUUUUGCUUUAUACUUGUCCACCUUGAAUGUCGCUGUUACAUCCUGUACUGUCCUCCUCCCUAUCUCCUGUGGGCUCGUGCGUCUGUCCUCAUGCACUCUCCUGUUCCUUUCGGUCCAAAUUCCCCAUACUAUCGCUGCCGUGUACGUCCACGUCAGUUCCCAGCAUGGUGAGUUCUUUGUCCUUGCAUUUGCCUGUGCCAUGACCUGUUCUAAAGAUAGACCUGCACACGUAAUCAAACUGGGCUUUGCAUUUAAAAUAUAUGUCCAUAGAUCCUUGGAGAACUUGCAUUUGAAGAAGACAUGGUCUUGUGAUUCCCAUGUCCCCCCACAUAAUAUGCAGGUCUAUCAAUGAAUGAUCAUUAAUUAAAAUAUAACACAAUUAUAAUAUCAUGAGCAUUAACACUUGAGAUGUAUUUUAUUUUUACAUUUUUUGCUUUAAUUUGAAAUCUUAAACUAAGAAACUAUAGUGAACAAUUUAUUCAAAUCUCAAUAUUAAAAAAAGAUUAACACACAAUUAAUGCAUAGAAUUUAACACAAACAGUCAAAUAAGAAGAAGAUAAAUAAAUACCAUCCAAAUGACCUUCCGAUCCGAAAUUGCGAAAGAAGAUAAAUAAAUAUCAUCAAAAUGACUGAAAUCAAAUAAGAAGAUAUUAUUUGCAAAAGAAAUCUUGCCGACCACGCUAACAUGAAUUUUCAUCGUAUGAAUAAUGUUAAUUGGUUGAAUGAUAUUUUACUAACAUAUGUUGAAAAACAUUUAUUUUCUAGUGUUAAUACUUAAUAAUGAUGAUAUUACCUAUCGAUACCAAAAUACGACACAUAGUCAAGAAUAAUUGGAUUGAAAAAAAUUAUUUUUGAAUUUGAUUUACAAUUAACCCCUCAAAGAAAAAAAAUUCUGGAUUCGCCGUUACUUUCUGGUGUCAAAAUUAGCUCAGUAAUAAAGUGUCUUAUAUAUAGACUUAUAUAUAGGUAAUUAGGUAUUAAUAUUAUAAUUAGUAUCUUUUUUCUUUCCAAAAUUGCCUUUCAAAUCAAUCAAAUACCACCCACCAUACUGAUAACAAAUCCCCUGUGGUCAAGCAAUAUAUAUAAAGAGUAAUUAUCAGGUGUGCCGAGGUCAAAAUGCACAAAAUUAAUCCUGUUCAUUAGAUCGACUUUGCGUCGUACAUAUGUUAUAUAGUGUCUUUUGCAGUACAUUAUUUUACGUCGUACAUGUGUUAGUGUCUUUUGUAGUACAUUAUUUUAACUAUUAGAUUAAAUAUUAAUGGACACGAUGCAUUCAAGGUACGGCGCACCUGAAGUGCGCUCUAUAGAUAUACCCCGCCUCGACAUUUGGUUUGUCGUGCCAGAGAUGCAAGAGUAGAUCAAGAGACCCGAUUGUCCCCAAAACCCAUUACUCACGCCAAAACCUUACAAAUUCUAACAAAGUUGAUCUAAUGGUAAAUAUUACCCGAGACGCAGGAUCAGGUGCGACCAGACUGAGUGCGAUCAUGAUGGUCGAUCAAAGAUAGAUCUAAUGGUCCACACUAAAAUUGAAACUGACAAGCCGGCCGAAUCCGGCCAUGUGGUCUUGCCGGACUAGAAACGACGUCUAUUACCCGAUGGUAUAUAUAUUCAGUAAUAUAGAAUUAAUUCGAGUGGCGUCUUUGAAUUUUUUUUUGGUAACAGAGCCACAGAGGCUACCUUUCUACAAUUAAAAAAACUAGUUACUUCUGAGUGAUAUAUUAAAGUCACAUAAUAUAUUAUCGGUUACAUCAUAGUGAAAAUUAAAUAAAAAUCACGUAUACAAUGAGCUAGAAUAGAACCUUGAACGUAGUUUCAGUAAUUUUAAUAGUUAUCAUUACAAGUUGAUUUAAAAUUUAAGGUUCUUUCUAUGGAGUUUUAUACGAAAAAGCCUUAUAUUUCUGAAAAUUACAUAAAGGUCCAAAUACUGUUAAAAAUUAAAUUAUCUGAUGUAAUUAGGUGAGAUCUGUCUGAUGUUCAUCAUUUACCUGGCCAAGUCUGGCUGAGUGUGGCGAAUUGGACAAGGUUUGAUGGCGACUUUAUGACCCUAACCAAUAGCAAUUGGUAGAAAUUAAACAUCUCUUUCGAUUAAAUUCACGUGAAAUCAGAAUAUUGUGUCGGUUUUAUAAUCUAAUAAUUCGACCAACAACCGCCGCUCCGGCCGACUGGAAAGCUAGCUAGCCAGGACUCUAGGAGACUCUCAACUGCUUCGAUUUCUACUAUAUAUGAAGCAUCAUCACCAUCAUAUCUCCUUCCAGAUUUCUUACGAAGAGUCCGAUAGAUUCUUUCUAGUUAAUUAAUUUCCACCAUGUGGCCGCCGACAUUCGUACUGCUGCUGCUGGGUUUGGUUUUUGCUAUAUCUAGAUCUUCUUCUUCUUCUUAUGAGGCGACAGUAAUAUCCCAAACUUGUGGGAAAACCAAUUACCCAUCUCUAUGCAUCUCCACGCUCUCCGAAUUCUCCACGGAAGCCGUCGUCGAUGAGAAAGAUCUCGUGCAAAUCUCGCUCAAAUCGUCAAUCCAACGGGUGAAAAUUGGUCGGCUUGAAGUCUCCGAUGUCUCCGAUCUUCUUCCUCCCAUGGACUCUCUUGUUCGCAGCGCGUAUGAUACUUGCGUUGAGCUUCUUGACGGCACGGCGCACCUUCUUUCCAUGUCUCUUCAACUAUUCAAGCCGGCUGUUUCUGUUCCCACCAACGUCGACGACGUCCACACCUGGCUCACCGCCGCGCUCACCAAUCAGGAUACGUGCAUGGAGAGUCUCGAUAUGAUACCGCCUGGCCAUGACCAUGUGGUGUUGAAGGAUAAAAUAACGGGAAACGUCGAAGAUCUAACGAAACAUGUCAGUAAUUCUCUAUCGAUCUACGUCGUGAUGAUGAAGAAGAACGGUGAGUUCGCUGACAUACCGAUCGUCGGCGGAAAUAGGAAGAACUCGUUUCCCGAUCAUCACUUUCCUUCUUGGGUUUCCAGAAUGGACAGAAAACUGUUGCAAUCGACACUUCUUCCUUUCCAUCCUACUUUCAUCGUCGACAAAGAUGGCAACGGAACGCAUACCACCAUUACCGAUGCCGUUAGAGCUGUUCCGCAUAACAGCACCGAACGCAUCAUUAUCUACGUCAAGUCCGGCAGGUAUACCUUAAUUUUGUGCCAUGAGAAUUAAUUCAAUUCUCUUGCUUAAUUUCAUACCAUUAGAGUUGGUUGGUUAGUUUAAUUUUCUCGUUUAAUUUCGCAUCGUAAGAUUUGAUUUGCUUAAUUUCGCGCCAUUAGAAUUAGUUUCCUCAAUUUCGCACCUAUCUUUUGAUAAAUUUCAUGACAUAAGAAUUUAUUUUGCUUAAUUUGGCGCCAUGAGAAUUGGUUCGAUUCUCACGUGAUUUAUAUAUAUAUAUAUAUAUAUAUGUAGGGUAAGUUUCUUGUACGUCGAAUUUUAAUGCGUUAAAAAAUUCUGACCAUUAGAUCGAUAUUUCGUCGUACAUGAGUUAAUGUCUUUUUUUGUCGUACAUAUGUUAGUGCUUUGUGCAGUACGUUAUUUUAGCUAUUGGAUUAAAAAUUAAUGAACAUGAUACAAACGACGCAUUUUGACGCACCGACGUACGACGCACCUGAAAAUUAUCGUAUAUAUAUGCAGGUACGAUGAAAAUGUGAAGGUUGGAAUGACCAAGACGAAUAUAAUGUUCAUAGGAGAUGGGAAGGGGAAAACCAUAAUAGACGGAACUAGGAGUGUUUAUGACAAUUUCACCACAUUCCACACAGCUACAUUUGGUUAGUACUUGUAAUUUUUACAUAAAACACCUCUGAAUUGUUCUAAAUUACUUCUUCGUGCAUCUAAUUAUGAAGCCGUCACCGGAAAUGGAUUCAUUGCUCGUGACAUAACAUUUGAGAACUCCGCUGAUCCGAAUAAUCACCAAGCAGUGGCACUUCGUGUUGGAUCCGAUCACGCUGUUUUCUACCACUGCAAUAUGAUUGGCUAUCAGGUUUUUCUUUCUUUCAAUGUUUUUUGCUUUCAAAAUUCGAACCAUGAACCUUUAACCACCUGAUGUUUAAUUUGAAGGAUACUCUGUAUGUCCACUCUCAACGCCAAUUCUUCCGAGAAUGCGACAUCUACGGAACCGUCGACUUCAUAUUCGGCAAUGCCGCGGUGGUUUUCCAAAAUUGCAACAUCUGGGCACGAAAGCCACUCGAUCAGCAAAAGAUAACAAUAACGGCUCAAAGUAGAAAAGACCCAAAUCAAAAUUCAGGCAUCUCAAUACAUAAAUGCCAAGUAAUCCCAACUCUGGACCUCCAGUCCGUCGCUUCGUCGUACCCCACUUUUCUCGGCCGACCGUGGCGACUCUACUCCCGUACCGUGUACAUGGAAUCGUACUUGGGCGAUCAUAUCGAUCAACGAGGUUGGUUGGAGUGGAAUGACGAUUUUGCCCUAGACAGUUUGUAUUAUGGUGAGUACAAGAACUACGGAUCAGGGGCUAAAUUAGAAAAUCGGGUCACUUGGAAGGGAUAUCGAGCGCUUCAGGAAAAAGAGGCUUUGGGUUUUACCGUCGGACAAUUUAUCGACGGGUCGACAUGGUUACCUGCUACUAAUAUUUCUUUUAUGGACAGUUUAUCUUCAAUAGUAUAAAAGGUUCGUUCCUUGUGUUUACCUAGCUUCCUUCUAAUUUUAUGAUAUCAUGCAUGUAUAUGAAUAAUGCAAGAGCAUAGGGCUCAAGAGUCAAGAACAUACACAAUAGAAACUAAUCAAACAUAUGAUAUUAGUAUAUAUGUUUUGAAAAUAUUUCAAGUGUUAUAAAGAUAUUGUAUUAUAAUUCAUUUAGGGCGAAAUUCAGGUAAGAUCUCAUUAUUUGAAAAUUAAAUAUGAACUUGCAUGUCUGAUUAUCCAACGAUGAAAUUUGUUACGAGAGUAUGCAUGUCAAGAGAUGCUGGAAGCUAUCAGCACUAACAAUCUACGACAUAAUCAGAUGAGCAAAAAACUCAUUUACUUUUUUCUAUCAGUUAUGUAGUGUAGUUAUAAAAUAACUAGAUACAUUGUCUCAGAAGGUUGGUCUCUUAUACUUCCAUUAUAAAAGUUUUCAAAAUAUAAUAUCAAAUUUUCUUGUAACAUUUCGGAUCAAAGGAGUGACUGAUGUCUUUAAUGACAUUUUUAAUGACUAUCUUAGAAGGUCUACUAACGUAUUGUCUGCUCUACCUCCCUUUCAAUUAACCUAUUCAGUACAUCCAUGACUAUGUCAAAGAGGAUUGGGGAUAGGGGGUCUUCUUGUCUUAUUCCUCUUUGGUUCUUAAAAGGGGGGGGGGUUGGUGUACCUUCCACUAGAUAAUCAACAAACUAAGAUAUCAUCUCUCAAAACUCUAAAUGAUUCACUACAAUCAUCUCUAGAUUCUAACAUUCAUCAAACUUCUAAUCAGCGCUAGAACUGAAAAAGAUGCAGUUGAUAUACAAUUCCAAACUAUUGCUCAUAUUAGGUUAUAUAAUAAUAAAAUAUGUACAUGGAAUUUUUUUUGCAUAAAACCGCCUAUACUGGUAUACGGUCAUACGGACCUGGAUACUGCAAACCUAUAUAGAAAACAUUGAUCGAAACACCUAAUUAUCAUAUUACAACAGAGUUUUGGAAAAUGUCACAAUUUUUUUUUGAGUGAAAACAAUGUCACAAGUUUUUUUUUGGUGAAAACAAUGUCACAAAUUACAAUACAAACUAAGGAUGAAAAUUUAGUUGGGCCCGUUAGGCCCGGCUCGAAAGCCCAUUAAAAUUUAAAGUAAUAUUAUAAUAGAAAAAAUCCACCUUGUUAACGACGUACAAAAGUGUCCAUAGAAGUCAACCGUUAGAUUAGGUAUGUAAUAGAUGAUGAAAUUUCAGCCUUCCAUGAGUAUAAUCAUUAAAUUGUGAGAAAUUUUGAGAAAUUGUCAGUAAUUAGAGUAGGUGUAUGUACUUUUAUCACUAAAAUUUCAACCAUAAAAUUGAUUUUGACAACUGCAUACUCAUAAAACAUUGUUCCUCUUUUUUCCCAUACAAAAGUUGCUCUUCAUCUCUCACCAUCGACUAUUGUCUCUCACAUUUGUCCCACCCUUCUCAAAAUCGCAAGAGGCGCUCACGACUCAUCUUCUUCAUUUCCGACAAGCAACCGUAUUCAUUUUCGACAAUCAUCUCCAAUCCAGACCGCGGACUACCGUUGUCUGUCUUCAUCAUUUAGCGGAGCAUUUUUUCCCGCUAGCUGUUUUUCUCACCGCUGGAAGUAUCUCUGCUUCACGAUUUCGUACGGUAGGUAUUCCGUGCUCUCAUUUUUCAAGUUUAUUUAUUACCAUUGUGAUAUGAUCUCACAGUCCAUCUCUCGUCCAUAUUUUUUCCGACUCAUCUCGUAUUUCGAAUAUUUGGUCGUGUGACACUUAUUGUGAUUAAGAUCAUAAUCUGUGAGGACAGAGGAAGCUGAUGAUGUGAAAACAAAGAUCAGCUUUAAUUCUAUCUAAUUAGGUUUAUUAAAAUACUUAAUUAGUUAGACUAUGUACUUAGUAUUAUUUCAGUUAGAUAUUAAUGGGCCAAUACUGAACUAAGCCCAUAAUUAACUCUAUAUAAAGAGUUGGAUGUAAAAGAUAUUUUCAAGGUGUUUAAUACAAGUUUUACACUUACCAGAUUUUCAGUUUUCAACUAACCACUCUUCCCACGCUCUCACUCUCUGCUGCACAUCCCUAACUGAUUGAUUAGGAAUUUCUGAUUCUGACAGCAUCUACGCUGCGCAUCUCGUCUAGAGGAGACGAGCUCUUUUAUGGUAUCAAUCGCUAGGUAUUGAUCAAAGCUUCCGCUCCAAUCAAUCACUCCAGUGACACAUUUGUUUCUUCAAAGAUUCUUGAAAAAUGACGUCUGAAUAGGUUGCUGAUGCAAGUCUGCACAAGGUACCAGACGAAAACUCCAGCAAUGAUAAUCGUGAAUAGAAUAUCAUAGAAAAGAGCAACUUUGUCAAGAAAAAUUCAAGAAUGGAUUGCUUCAAUUUAAAAGAAGCAAUGACCGACAGAUUCAGCCCAUAUUACCUUCACUCAUCUGAAAAUUCAAAGGAAAUCAUCGUCGCCAAUAAACUUAAAGGAGAUGAGAAUUACACAACCUGGUCCAAGGCAAUACUAAGAUACUUGUAUACUAGGAGAAAGGAAGGAUUCGUUGAUGGCUCAAUUAUGAAGCCCGCAGACAAGACUUCUCAAGAAUUCCAGGCUUGGAGGAUGGUGAAUGGCACAGUCCAGUCAUGGGUAAUAAAUUCAGUGAAAAGCCACAUAGCAUCUGCCCUAGAAUAUGCUGACAGUGCUUUUGAUGCAUAGAAAGAUCUAGAGCAAAGAUUUAAUCAAGGUGAUGGGCAGAUGAGAUACCAACUCAGGUAUCAAUUAAACAAUUUAUUUCAAAACUGUGAUACGGUAGGAAAGGGAAAAAAUUAGACACUGUAAACAGGUGUGACCACUGCCACUUCUAUGGCCACACAGAGAAAGAAUGUUACUACUUAUAUGGGUACCCUACAAAGAAGAAGGUUGAAAAGAAAAGGAACAGGGAAGAGGUGGCAAAUACUGCAAAUAUUUGCCUCACUGAAGAAGACUGCCAAAAGAUUAAACAGUUCAUAAGCAACAACCUGGGUAUGUGUUCUUUUAAUUCUUAAUUCUAAAAAUAAUUUUAACAAUAUGUGGACAACAUAUUCUGGUGCUUCUAGCCACAUGAGUGGAAAUAAGAAUUGUUUUAUAAAUUUAAAACCAACUCUUAAAAAUAUAAGAGUUAGCAUACCUAAUGAGAAAUACAUUUAGUCAAAGCUAUAGGAGAUAUUAUACUAUCUCCCCAUAUAAUGCUAAAAGAUGUAUAUUACAUCACAACUUUUAAAACAAAUUUAAUUUCGGUAGAAAAGCUAUCCAAAUCUACCAAAGUUUUAGUCAUAUUUGAUGAGGAAUUAUGUUAUUUUCAGAACAAAGCAUCAAAGAAACUGAUUGGACUAGCUAGAUCCUUCAAUGGAAUAUACUGGUUCAUAAAAGAAGCUGUUGCUUACUGUGCCACUGAUAUCAGAACUUGGCACAAGAGACUUGGGCAUAUUUCUUUUAAAAAAAAUCAGAAAUUAGCUAGAUAUGCUUGUAAUAAUUUCAGAUUGAAUGAUUUUAAUAAAAAGGAUGUUUUUCAUAAAUGUGAUGUAUGUCCAAUGGCAAAACAAGCCAGAUUGCAAUAAAAAGGAGUCAUACCUCUUCUCUAAAAACAUUUGAUAUAAUACAUGUUGAUAUUUGGAGAAAAUUUCCCCAAUCAACUUAUAACAAUAAAAAUUAUUUUCUCACAAUUGUAGAAGAUAAAAGUAGAUUUACUUGAAUUUAUUUAAUGGAAAAUAAAUCAAAAGUAACUCAAAUAAUCAUAGAAUUUAUUAAAAUGAUAAAAACUUAAUAUCAGACUCAUUAAAGUAAUUAGGUCUGAUAAUGGAUUAGAGUUUAAAACAAAAAAAAUUACAAUUUUUUUUAAAAAUAAUGGAAUGAUUCAACAAUUCUCAUGUUUUUAUUUUCCACAACAAAAUAGUAAGGUAAAAAGGAAACAUAGAGACAUCUUGAAUAUAGUCAGGGCAUUAAAAAUACAAGCCUCUUUCCUAAUAAAAUUUUGGGGAUUAUGUUGCUUAAAUGCAGCACACAUCAUGAAUAGAAUUAACUCAAAGUCCUUAGGAUGUAAAACACCAUAUGAGGUGUUAAAUAACAAAGAAAUUGACUAUGGUUAUAUAAAAACCAUAGGCUGUUUAUGUUAUACGAAUAACACUGAAAAAGAGAAUAAAUUCUCAAAUAGGGCCAACAGUGGAAUCAUGUUGGGGUAUCCCUAAGAAAUUAAAGGGUUUUUAAUUCAAGACCUUGAAACUGGUAAGAUAUUUACCAGUAGGAAUGUCACAUUCAAAGAAGAUAUAUUUCCUUAUGAAUAUAUUAAAAGAAGCAUUACAGACAAAAAUGGGACAUCGAUCUCAACGACGUUAUAUUUUUUUCUUAAUUUUUUGUUUAAAAAAAUCAUCCCCCUUCGUACCCUUUAUUUUAUGUUUUUUAUGUCUUCAUUUUCAUGUCUCAAAUCUUGUAUUUUAUGUUGUUCCUAUAAACGUAAAUCUAUUAUUGUUUUUGUUUGUAUUUAAUCCACUUUUUUUGUUCGUAUUUCAUCAUAUCAUAGAAUGUACUGUUAAUCUGUUCUUUCACCGCAAAUCUGUUUGAUUUUUUGAAUAAGAUUUUUCUUUAAUUUAUUAUUUUUACUGAAAAAUAGAAUCGUUGAUUGUAAAUUUGAUUUUGAGUUUGAUUUUAUUUAUCGUUGUCCUAAUUUGUUGUCCCUAAAAUGUCAUAAUCUAUUUUAAUCUUGCAUUUCAUUAAAUCCUGAUAUUUGUUUGAAGCCCUAAUUUGUCUACACUAAUUUUCAGUAUUCAAUGAUCGUAAAUUUUUUUGAUAAUAAAUGAUCGUAAAUUUUAUGGAACAACUGUUUGAACUAUUUCAGGAACAAUGCGCCCAAGUAAUUGAUGAACAAUGGUUUGGACCAUUUGCAGGACAACAAUUGGAAGUAUUUGAGAAACAACACGUUGAACAAUUUUGUGGACAAAAGAUGAAAGAAGUUACGGACCCAUGGUUUGAACUUUUAAAGGAACAACGCAUUGUCAAAAUUUGGAGCCAAUGAUUUGAACCAUUUAUGUACUCAUGGUUGUAAGUACUUCGUGAACCAUUUGAACCAUUUACUUAUAUUUGUGCAACCAUGGUUGUAAGGGUUUUAGGAACAAUGUUUCGACCAAAGUUAGGGAUCAUUUGAAGUAUUUGGGGUACUAUGUUUGGACCGACUUUGGGGAUAAUAAUUUGAAUAAUUUGUAGAACAAUCGUUUGAACUAUUUUAGGAACAUUGCUCCCAAGUAGUUGAUGGACAAUGGUUUCGACCAAAUUUAGGGACAAUGGCUACAACCAUUUAUUGAACCAUAAUUUGAAGUACUAUAGGAGCAAUGUUCCGAACUAAAUUAACGUACAAUGAUUUCAACAAUUACAAGGACAACAAUUACGAUAUAAAGAGGGUUGACGAUAAUGACGAGGACAAAAUGACUGAAAUCAAUUAAUAAACAAUGUUCCGACCUAAAUUAAUGUACAAUAAUUUCAACAAUUAUAAGGACAACAAUUACGAUAUAGAGAGGGUUGACGAUAAUAACGAGGACAAAAUGGCUGGAAUCAAUUAAGGAACAAUACGAAAAAGAAAUUCGAAAACAAAUCCAACGAAGGCUUCCGGUCUUGAAAAAAAAUCGCAAAUGGGUUUCGGCAAGGAAGGAAAAUAAAAAUGAAAAAAAGAAGGUAUGAAAGAGUGUACGUGAAAAGGCAGUAUACGUGAUAGAAGGUAAGAGAAAGUGAAGGUCAAAGUACAUAUGUAGGUGACAGGUAAAGGUACGAUUAGGUAGGAUAGAGAAAAGGAAUAAUAUUUACUCUGUGAUUUCUGCAAAAAAAAUAAUAAAAAACUCUAAAUAAAAGGACGGUCCAGAUAAUGGAAGACAAGAUCUAACGACUCAGCUAAGGUGAACGCUUUUGAACACACCCUAGGAUGAGCGUAUGUGAUAAUUCUUAUAUUAUAAUAUUAGAUUAUAUCAUAUAAAUUCAAAUCCCAAAACGUAUUUACCUCACUCCUCGCCCUAAAACCCUAAAUCUAUAGUGUUCGAAGACAAAGAUGAAUAAAUGAUUUUUUUUAAUGUUUUGCCCGAGUUGCCUGAGCCCGGUCCGAGUUCGACCCGAAAUAAAUGGACCCGGUCCGACUCGUUUACCAAACGAACAAGCUCGGGUCUGAAAAUCAGGCUUGUUUGUAACCCUAAUCCGGUAUCUCCACAAUCCAAAGGUUUUAUAGGCUUGAAAUUACUCCAAGUGAACCUUCACACGUCUAAUAACCUAUAAAUAUAUAAAAAAACAAUAAAUAAUGAAUUAUUAUAAAUUAUAAAAAACCAUCAGUCAAUAUGCUUUCAAGAUCUAGUUGGGUUAGGUGGAUCUGGCUAACCAAUAAAUCAAUUAAAUUGGGAAAAAUAGUUUUUCCACAAUUUAAAAACGGUUGGAAAUCACGAUUUGCGAUUACUAUUUGUUUUUCUUCACGAUUUCUCCGUAGUUUCUGUAACACCCUUAACCGCCUGUAGUUAAGGUGUUCGAGGGAAUUCCCCAAAGAAAACGAUGAUGAAAGAAGAGAGAAUUUUCCCCAAGCGGGGCUAGAGAUAGAGAAGACGAUCACGGAGGAUCCCGGAGGAUAAAGAAAAUUAUAAACUGAAUUGAAACUUGAUUAUUCAUUCUCCUUUACAUCAUCUCUAUUUAACUAUGAAUUUUAUAACUACUUUUUGUUAGAUCUAACAACUCUUGAAAAAUGAUUAACUAACUAUACUCGAAGUUCUUGUUUUGUGUAGACUUGCAGACUCUUGCCGGAUAAGGCGGGUCUGGUUCCCCGGAUCCUGGAACCACUUCAGUCGAAGCCUCUUUUGCUCUGUUGUCUUCUAGCUCCAGUUCGGUCGUGAGCACACGUUCUGCUUCCUCUUGUUCAAUUAGCACUGUUACAGUUUCUUCCAUCCAACCUUGCAGCACCCUCAUUCCUUUCUCCGACAAAUUUCCAAAGACAUCCAAUGACCGACAACUAUCUUCCACAGUUCUAUCUAGAUUAGCUGCUCAUUAAUUAUCAGCUAAUAUUUGGUCAAUGAAUAUGUGCUGAUGAGGAUAUCGAGUUUAGUCAGAAGGCUUCCCGUGGGAGGAGCGUCGCUCCCGGGCCCUUCGAUCGGGGGGACCGGUCCGUACAUCGGGUCACCACCUCCGCCCCCGUCUGACUCGAGGGUGUGGGGGGCCACCGUGAGUUGGUGCACCUGCUCCUGCAGCUGGCGCUGACUCUCUUGUAGAGUGGAUAUCGAGUUCACGGGUUCAGUUCGAACCUUGAAAUAGAUUCGUUUAAUUAAACGAACCGAACCCAAACCUUAGUUGAGGUUCGACGAACGGUUCGGUUCGUUUAACAUUUUUAUUAUAUUUUAUUAUUUUAUAUUUAUAUUAGAAAAUUACAUUAUAUAAUUUUUUAUUAUAAAUUUAUAUUAUAUAUUUCAUAACUUAUGUAUAUUUUUACAAUUUUUUAUUAAUAUAGUAUGUUAAUGUUGGUUUCUAAUCAACAAGAAGAAAAGAUGACUAAGAAUUGAUUUAACAAAAGAAAAUAGACUAUAAACAAUGUUUUUUUAUUGUUUAUUUUUUUAAAUAUGGUCAGAUGGACAUGUUUAUUUUUUUUAAUGUUUAUUUUUAGGAUGAUUUAAAAAAAAGUUCAGUAUUCGACGAACUAUUUGGUUCGGUUUAGAUUUGAGUUCGGGUUCGAUUAUUAAACGAACCAAACAUAAAUUCAAGAGUAGGCUCGUUUAUUUAAACAAACCGAAUCAUGGUUCAAUAGACUCGAGUUGCAACGCUAAUUGUCAUUAUAAUUACAAUUCCAUGUUUAUAAAAUACACCUAUUUCAUAUUUUGAUCUAUAUAUUAUUAACAUCAUGUCAUGCGCAAGCAGUGUAGAAUAUGAAUUAAAAAAUGUCAGUUUGUUUCCAUAUUCAUGUUCCUUAAGAAUGGCUUUAAUGGUUUAAUUUAUUCUUACCAUCUUGUAGUUAUUAUAUGAUCCAAAACUACUUGAGGGGUGACAAUAAUAGACACGAUUCGUAAAAAAAUACGCGAUUUUAACACGAUACAAGCACGACCCGUUUAUAAUAGUGCCGGGUUAGUGUCGAAAGUUUUAACACGAUUAAUAAUAGUGUUUGCCUCUAAAAACACGACAUGAUUACAGGAAACGUAAAUUAAUACGACAUGAUUAUAUGACACAAUAACACAAAAAUAUAAUUAACCAUGUUUAUCUUUUAUGUAAUAGAAGUAAAAUAAUAUUUUUUAUGUUAAACCACUUAAGUUUUAUAUAAAAUAUUAUAAUCAUAAAAUAAUAAGGGUAAAAUAAUAGCUAUGAGGUAAAAUAAUAAUUAUGGUGUAAAAUAAUAACUAUAUAAUAGGGAGAUAAUUAUUAAUAAAAUAAUAGUGUCGUAUUCGUGUCAAAUUUUUUUUGACACAGAUCGUGUUCGUGUUAAUGAAAAAAUUAAUUAUGAUAAUCAUGUUCGUGUCGCGUCAACACAAUUGCCAGACCUAGCCACUGCCAUUGUUAUUGACGCUCUAACCGUCAAUAAUGAUAGUAAAAAAACAGUUUUAGGGUUUAUAGGUUAAUGGUUAAAUGAUUAGAAUUAGAACAAAAGAAAGAUUACAGGUUAGUGAACUAACUAGAUGUUUGUGAUUCUAUAUACUACUACUACUGAUGGAAACAGAGUUUCUCUUUAUGAACUCAACACAAUCCGCCAUGGCUUCGGCGUAAUAAGAAUCGACGACUAAACCUCCUCCUCCUCCACCUUUAUUUCCAUAAUUGCCUAAAUUUUGCUGGUGGCCUUUUCGGCCUCUCUUAGAAACAUACAUCCCACUACCCUUUCUAGUUAUUCUUCGGGAUUGUUGGCACUUUGCAACAAGUGUUCGGAAGAGGCGAUGCACCAUUAUUUGGAACGGUCGAAGCCCGUGCAAUUGUAAGUAUGCCGAUCGGAAAAGCUUUAUCACCACAACACCCCUACCGACUGGGAUAUGAUUCAAUUGACUUCUCAUGAUUAUUGUUAUUCAAAUCUAUUGCUGGUUAUUUCUCUAUAUAUACAGUUUUUCAAUUCCUCGCUUGGCACAUUGGAAAACCAACCUUCUGUGGGCGCAGUUUUCCAAUAUAUUUACAACUAAAUGGUGGUAAUCGGAUAUUUAAUUUAUAUCUCUUGAUGAGGUAGACUGUGAUUGCUGAAUGCUGAUUGUUGAAUGCUGAUCUUAUACUUAAUUAAAUCCUUGUAAAUUAUUUUAUCUCUAAACCAUGUGCUCUCAAACUUUAAUUUAUUCAAGGAAUCUUGACACCAACAUAGGGUGUCAAACGAGCCGAGCUUUUGCUUAUAGAGCCGGGUUCGGGCUCGGCUCGUUAAGAUAUCAUCUGAGCUCGGGUUCGGCUCAUCAGAGACUUUCCAGAUUUGGGCCUGAGUUUAAACGAACCGAGCCCACCAAGUCGGACUUUAUUUGACACCCUACAUCAACAUAUAUAUAGUAGAAAUUGGAUUAGGUCAGAUGUAACGCGAUUAUACGGUAGCUCCGGUGUUGGGUGAAGAGGAUGAAGUGAAAUUAAUAGAAAAAAAAUUAUUAGCGAAAUUACUGAGUUUGGAAAUAAAAAAUAAAACGAGAUCUGUAAAUACUUAAAGUGAUAGGGGAGAUCAUGAAAAUGUCUUUCUUUUUCCUUUAUUCAAAUGGUGCAUUGAGAAUUGCAACUCAUUUCAAAUGGAUUUUGAUAGCUUCUCUGUAAAACCUUAUUUUCCAAACAGAGUUUUAAUAUAAUGAAAUGACUUGUAAUAACUUGCUUUCCAAACGAAAUUUUAAUAUAAUGAAAUAUUCCACACACAUUCAGUAUUUAGGUAACCUAAGAUAAUACUUAUUACAAUCCAAGUAAAGGACAAUGACUACAAAAUUUUAUGUUCUACGCACACGAGCCUCGUGUCACCUCGACGAGUCUUUUGUCUCCUACAAUUCUAGUUAGGCAAGGUUGCCUCCAUUCCCUGCAAUAUUGUAUGCAUUCGUAAGUAAUUACAUCACUCUAAUAUUACAUCACUCAAUAUGUAAAGCAUAGACACUAACAUUUCUCAAAUAUCAAGUUAAUUUCACUCUACCAAUAUUAUAUAUUCACAUAACAAGUAAGAAAAUAAAUCCUCAUUCAUAAAACUCAUCAUUCAGUCUAAUUACAUCAAUCAAUCAUCAUUCAUAAAACCCAUAUGGGUCAUCAUUCGUCAUUCAUAAAACCCAUAUGUGUCAUCAUUCGUCAUUCAUCAUUCACCGUCGGUUAGGCGUCAAAAUAUUUCGGUCAUAUCUCACUCAUGCAUUCAUUCCUUCAUUCAUUAACUCGUUGAUGUGGCUAGCCACGUCAUUGUAAUGGCUCAUGCCUUGACUGGCAAAGCAAUUAACAUGCAAUAAAAGCAGUUGCUCACCUUCUCUAACUGAUGGCCAUCGUCGAAGGAGAAGAGGAUAAAUAAAGAUGGAAACUCUUGAAUAAAGUAGAUUAUUAUUUCCUUUUGAGAUUUUUACAUUCUGGUACGUUUCUUCUUUCUUCUCCGGUGGAUUCUGGCUAAUGGUUGGUGGAUUCCAAUCUAAUCUCCUUUAACUUCCUCAGGUUCGCUCGACGACGAUCUUCUUCGUCUCGCUUUCGUUGCUGCUCCAUCGACACUAUUCUUCUAUCUUCAUCUCUUUUAUUUUUUGAACCUAUCGCUGGAUCACUACCGUGGUUGAUCUUUACGAUGGUAUAUCUUUUUUUUACUAUUUGAAUACAUUAGGUGGUAUCAGAUUCAAGGUCCGAUCAUCUUCCCAGCAGUGCGUACGAUGUCUGACUACGUAUCUAGGGGAGAAUUUGAGGAGUUAAAGAAAGUAUUGAUAAAUAUGCAAGACGAGCUGGCCCAGUUGACACAACAAAUAAGCCGGGGUUGAAAGGAACCGUCUCAUCGGAGGAAUCGAGAUGGGAAGGCACAGUGGCCAGAUGGGUAAGAAAAAAACGACGACGGAGGCUCGUUCAGUCUACUUCAAGAAAAGGCCCCAGUCUACAUCCAGAAGAAGUAUUUUCGGACCUAGAGGAGUUUGAAGAUGAACGAGAGCGACAAUGUGUUAUCAAUCAAAUCGAAAUUACGACCAUCAGUAUAGGCAACAAAAUUGGUACGAUCAACGAAGAGAUCGGAAUGAAUGGAAACAAGGACGCCAUCAGAAUCACGACGGUGAGUUCGGGGACUACAAGCUCCGCAUGGACCUUCCAUGGUUCAAUGGAUCUUCCAAGAUUGAAGAAUUCCUGGACUCGAUAAGCAAGGUAGAACACCUCUUCGAAUAUAUGGACGUGAAGGAGAGGAAGAAGGUAAAAUUGGUGGCAUUACAGUUGGAUGGGUGUGCAAGUGCUUGGUGGGAUCAGUGUUAGUUAAACAGGACUCAAGAUGGAAAGAAGCCAAUACGUUCAUGGACUAAAAUGAAAAGUUGCUUAGAAGAAGGUUCCUACCUUCAAACUAUGGAAGACAACUAUUCACUCAGUAUCAAAAUUGGAAACAGGAAACGCGCGGUCAGUGGCAGAAUAUACUCAAGAAUAUCACCGACUAGCAUCUCGUAAUAACCUUCGAGAGAAUGAAGACCAAAGAAUCGCUAGAUUCGUUGGUGGUCUGAAACAACAGAUUCAAGAAAAAUUAAUAGUCAAUAUAUCCAGCCCCAUCAUUAGAAGAGUCGGUCAAUAGAUCUAACUAUUCAACCUUCACGUUAUUCAACACCGUUCAGGGAACUAGCCGUCGGAGAAUCAUCGAGAACAACACCCGUGACGACAAUCGAAAUUCUGGAAAAGUCAAAGGAUGUAAGAGCACCACCAGAAAAUCCAUACAACCAGGUAAUUAAGUGUUACCAGUGCCAAGAGGUCGGACACAAGUCCAACGUCUGUCCGCGGCGUCGAGGAAUACACAUAUGUGAGGGUGAAGAAUCGGAGUAGGAAGGAAGACCGGAAUCGGAGGAUGAAACAGAACAAGUCUUCUCGACAUCUACUGGAAUCCACCAGAAUAAUCGAUCACCACACUUGGUUAUUCCAAUCCAGGAAUUGACCAAUCAAACAGUACUUUUAAUUCACGAAACAAAGUAGAAGAAAGAGAGAAAUGAGAGUUGGAGAUUACCUUCUAAUUUUUAGGUUAAAUCUCAACUAACCGUCCAUCUGCCCUUCCACUCCCAUUUAUACUCUCAAGGUGUAUGAGUGGAAAUUCCACCCUGAGAGUCCAAGCAUAUUAGUGGGCUUGUGGUCCAGGGCUCGAUUAGAAUCGAACUCAUGACUCAUAUACUCAUGCUGGGCUGCAUCAGGCGACCCCUCUUGGGAUACAAUUGUCCUCAAUUGACUGUCUUCUGCAGUAGAAGGGUGAUAACUCUUUAAAUCUGCAAUGUUGAAAGUUGAAGACAUAUUGAACUCUGGAGGGAGAUCAAUUACAAAAGUAUUAUCAUUGAUUUUUCUGAGCACUCUGCAAGAUCCAAAAUUUAUGUCCUUCAAUUUAGAAUAAGAUCCCGCAGGGAACCUCUCUUUCCUUAAGUGAACCAUGACCAAGUCAUCCACAUUAAAAGUAUGAAAUCUUCUAGAUUUAUCAGCCCUUGCUUUAUACAAUUCAUUGGAUCUGGUUAGUGAUUCCUCCACCUGUUUGUGUAUUGCUCUGCUGGAAUCAAAAAUAUCUUCAGCUAAUCUAUUUGCUGAUUGUAUGGAAACAACAUCCAUAAUGUUCUUUGGAAGGUGGCCAUAAGCAGCAAUAAAUGGUGCAUAACCAAUGGACCUGUUAGGCAUACUAUUAAAUGCAAACUCAGCUUGAGUUAAGUGCUGGUCCCACUGUUUUGGGUGUUUCCCUGCUAGCACCCUUAACAAAUUACCAAGUGAUCUAUUUACCACUUCAGUCUGGCCAUCCGACUGUGGGUGACAUGUAGAGUUGAAAUUCAGAUUUGUGUCGAAUCUUUUCCAUAAGAUCCUCCAAAAAUGUGAGAGGAACUUUGUGUCUCUAUCCGAUAUAAUGCUCCUUGGAAUACCAUGAAGUCUGAUUACUUUAUUGAAAAACAAUUUUGCUAUGUGAGAAGCAUCAUUGGUCUUCUUACACUGAAUAAAAUGAACCAUCUUUGAAAACCUAUCAACCACCACAAAAAUGAAAUCUAACCCUUUGCUAGUUUUGGGUAAUCCCAGAACAAAGUCCAUAGAUAUGUCUGCCUAUGGUUCUUUAGGAACUGGUAGAGGGGUAUAGAGACCACUGUUCCGACUGGUGCGCGCCCUUUGCUUCUUGGCACCUAGGGCACCUUUGCACAUAUUUCUCAUUCCUGGCCAGCAAUACCUGCUCACCACUUGUGCAAUUGUUUUGUCUCUUUCAAAAUGGCCAGAUAGACCUCCUGAGUGUAUGUCUCUGAUUAGUUGCAAUCUUAAUGAGGUUUGAGGGAUGCACAAUCUGUCAGUCUUGAAAAGAAAUCUAUCAUUGAUUCAGAAGUUCUUGUUGUGUAAUUUCUGUAGGCAUUCCUCCCAAAUAAUAGAAAAAUCCUUAUCAGUAGAAUAAAGUUCCUUUAGACAGUCAAAAGCUACCACUUCUAUCCUCAGAAGUGUUAAUAAGGAAUUUUUUCUGCUUAAAGCGUCAGCCACUUUAUUACUCACACCAGAUCUAUGUUUUAUAGUGAACUCGAAUCUCUGCAAGAAUGAAAACCAUCUGUUGUGCAUUCUAUUGGUGUCAGAAGUACCAUUCAUCUGCUUUAACGCUAUGUGGUCAGUAUGGAUAACAAUUUUCCUCUGAAUCAAGUAGGGUUCCCAAACUUUGCAGGCUCGGACAACAACAUAUAAUUCUUGCUCGUAAGUGGUCCAAUUCUUCCUGCUGGCCGAAAGUUUUUCACUGUGGAAAGCAAUAGGGUGUCCAUUUUGAAAUCACAUUCCACCUCAAAAUAUCUGUGUAAAAUCAGGAAGAACUAACACAGGUGCCGUUUGGAGUUUUUUUUCCAGUUUCUGGAAACUGACUGAAGCUUCCUCUGUCCAUGUGAAUUUCCCUUUCUUUAGACAAUCUGUGAUGGGACUAGCUAUAGAGAUGAAAUUCUUGAUAAAUUUUCUAUAAAACGAUGCAAGCCCCAUGAAACUACGAACCUCAGUAAUUGAAGAGGGAGUUGGCUAAUCCCUUAACACCUCAGUUUUCCUUGGGUCCAUUCGCACACUAUGCACCCCAAUGAUGAAUUCCAGAAAACAGAGUUCGUCAGAAAAAAAACUCACACUUCUUCAGAUUCAACUUAAGUUGAUUGUCUUCCAACAACUUAAAAACUGAUCUAACAUCUCUAAUAUGAUCUUCUUUAUUUUUGCUGAAUACUAAGAUGUCAUCAAAAUAAACUACUACACAAUUGCCUAACAAUGGCUUCAACACUUCAGUCAUCAACCUCAUGAAAGUUGAUGGUGCAUUGGAUAGCCCAAAUGGCAUCACCAUUCACUCAUAUAGGCCCUGUCUAGUUUUAAACGUUGGUUUCCACUGAUCCCCUUCUCUCACUCUGAUCUGGUGAUAGCCACUUUUAAUUUAAAUCCAUUUUGGAAGAAAUUGUAGCUCCUGCCAAGGCUUCUAACAGCUCCUCCAGUCUCGGAAUAGGGAAUCUGUACUUGACUGUAAUUCUGUUUAUGGCUCUACUGUCCAUACACAUCCUCCACUCUCCACUUUUCUUAGGAACUAAGAGAGCAGGCAUCGCACAGGGACUUAAGCUAGAUCUGAUCAGGCCAUCUUUCAAUAACUGUUCAACCUGAUUUUGUAAAAUUUCAGCCUCUUUGGAGCCCAUUCUGAAGUGGAGCAGAUUAGGUAGAGAUGCCCCUGGAAUCAAAUCUAUUCUAUGUUCAAUAUCCCACGCCGGUGGUAGUGUCACUAUUGAAUUUUCCAAGGACAGAAAUGGAAAAUCAUUCAGAAUUGUUUGGACUUCAGUGGGGAUUUCUCUGAAUUCAGACUUGUCCACUUCUAAAUUUUUGAUUACUAAAGCUAACCUCAACUCUUCAAUUUUCAAUUCCUCGACAAAAUCAGACCUUUGUUGCAACAAAAAAUUGGUGUUUAUGCUGGUUGUGCUUGUUGACUCAGGGGGUACAGGUAAUAGAGCUAUUUUUUUAUCAUCCACCUGAAAAACAUAUGUGUUCAGUCGCCCAUGGUGAGUGGCAUUCACAUCGUAUUGCCACGGUCUACCCAAAAGUAUGUGUGUAGCAUCCAUGUCAAGUACAUCACAUACCACCGUAUCAUUGUACCGCUCUUGCCUAUAGAAAGUGGGACUUUGCACAAAUUUUUUAUUUUUACUCCUUCCCCAUUUUUAUCCACCCUAUCGUAUAUGGUCUAGGGUGUUCUUCCAAUUUGAGACCCAACUUCUUUGCUGCCCUUUCAGAUAUCAAAUUAUCAAUACUCCCAUUAUCAUUGUAACGGCUCCUGCCUUGGUUGGCAGAGCAAUUAACAUGCAAUAAAAGCAGUUGCUCACCUUCUCUAACUGAUGGCCAUCGUCGAAGGAGAAGAGGAUAAAUAAAGAUGGAAACUCUUGAAUAAAGUAGAUUAUUAUUUCCUUUUGAGAUUUUUACAUUCUGGUACGUUUCUUCUUUUUUCUCCGGUGGAUUCCGGCUAAUGGUUGGUGGACUUCAAUCUAAUUUCCUUUAACUUCCUCAUGUUCACUCGACGACGAACUUCUUCGUCUCGCUGUCGUUGCUGCUCCAUCGACACUAUUCUUCUAUCUUCAUCUCUUUUAUUUGCUGAAUUGAUCUUCACAAUGAAAAAUACAAGGUUUUAUUUAUUUUUUAAUCAUUAGGGGGACAUUCAGAUGAGAUGCCUUAAAAAAAAAAUCUCAUGAGAUAAUGAUCUCCAUCGUCCAUUUUUUAGUUUUACUCACGAUAUCUGAAUCUUGAUAUUUGUUCCAGGUUUAUAAUAAAAAAAAUGAAAUAAUAAGAAUGGUGAAAUGAAAUUUAAAUGAUUAUUAAAGCGCUUAAAGCACCAGGGGUAUUUUAGUAAUAUUCUGUAAAGAUACAAAUAAUCUUAUAUAAAUACAUAUAAAACCUAUAGAAAAAAUAAAAAUAUUGUAUAAAAGUAUAAAAUCGCAUAUAAUAAAACAUUAAUGAUUUAAUUCAUACAAGUAAAAUUUAAUCCAACUACAAUUUAAAUCAAACUAAAAUCUGAAAGUGGAAUAAGAGUUUUAAAUUUAAGUUAGAAUGGAAAAAAAAUUAUAUUAGGUGAAAAUAUUAUUAAAUAAUAGUUGUAAUUGGGUAAUCAUUGGUUCUUUACCCGAACCCGCUCGAUUACCCCCUCUGGAAAAGCGCUCUUCCAAGAGAGCUUUAACGCGCUCUUAAAACGGCGUUUUUAAAACUAUGUUAUAUAUAUAUAGGCAUUAUAGAUAAAUAAUGCUAAUACUUGUUUGUUUAUUAAUUACUUUCACUACAAGAAAACAAAGAAACAACCACGCCCAAGAUCACUGAUUAAUAUUCAACAAUUAGCCACGGCUUUUAGUGGUCGUGGCUAAGCCCGUGGGCGUAGCCCUGUUUUCUUGUAGUGUUUAGUUUAUAUAGUUCAGUUUAUGAAAUAUAUUGUUAAAGUGUUCUUAAGCAAAUCUGCCUUAUUAUCUUUCUAUAAUAUUCUGUUAGGCAAUAUGGUCAUAUGGAGUUAUGGACAAGUUGCACAUGAAAGCACAUUAAGACAUACUAGAAUAUCACUGCACUAUAAGACAUAUACUAGAAUAUCACUGCACUAUAUAUAAGACAUACUAGAAUUUCUUGUCAAACAAUUGAUAACAGAAACGGUUAGUAAGUGAUCGAGUUUACGAACCUAGGUAUAUCACUAUAUAGUUAUAUACCUAUAUAAUGAGUUUUUGUUGCAGUUCUCGCACGGCUCGGUUCGGUACGCCGACGAGAUCCAACCGCUCGUCCACCUCUGAAGUCUUAGCCGCAGGGAACUUCACUGUUAAUAGAAUCAAUAUAAUGUUACUCAUUGAAACUAUAUUAACAAUAAUCUUUGCUGUUAUUUUGCAUGUUUAUAAUAUUAUAUUUACAAGUAUGCAAAGGUAAAAGAACCCAUUUCAGGAAACGGACUAAAGAAAAUAAAUGAAGCCCAAUCAGCCCAUAAAGCUAUGGAUUAGCAUCGUAGUUAAUUAAUUAGUUGUUGGGUUAGUUUAUUUUCUAUAAAUAGUCUAUGUAAUAACAAUAAGAAUUACUUACUUUUGAGUGAAAGAAGUUUCAAUCAAUUCCUCCAAAUUCUGUUAAUCUAUUCUUCCCCAAUUCUCGUUUCACAGUUCUAGUGUCGAUUUCCAAUCCAUUCGACGAGAAAUCGGACACUUUCUUUCUUUUAACUGUGGUUCACGACACCGGCGAGGUGCGGUUCUUCACGUCCAUCGUCGGAUGAAGAAUACAGCCCAUCCAGUGAUGGGCCGCAUGCAGUUUCAGGUGCGGCGAACCACCCCUGAAACUGCCUGUAUAACUAUAGGUUAAUUGAUAUGAUAAGACUAGAGAAUAGAUGAGAGGGAGAGGAGAUGCAGUGGAUAGACCUUAAAGUGACCAGCAGGUCCAUUUACUCCCAAAAUUCAGUUAGGGCAUAGCAGUCAUCGGCUCAUCGCUAUGCCCUGCUAUUUUGAGGUAUGCUCCACAAGAUUUGCAAAUAUGUUGCAUAUAUAAUAACUUUAUUUUUGGUAUAUUAUGUUUUUUGUGUAAGUUUAUUGCACAUGAAUAUGGCUACGAACUUAUAUUGUAUUAUGGUUUUAUUGCACAUAAAUCAGGCCAUUAUAGAGUUGGAUAACAGUGGAUCAUUUUUCAUAAAGAACUUGAGAAAGUGUUCUAUGUCGACGAUGGAACCCUUUGAUGACUACACGCCAGAGGGAGAAGUGGCCAUGGAGAUAUGAAAUGAAGAAGAAGAAUAAAGAGAUCGAGGAAGAACAGUGUGAAUUAAGAUGUAAUCGAGAUGAUUACAAAUGUAUUAUUUAGGAGGUAUAUAUACACUUACAAAGGGAACAAAUAACAACCACUAAGGUGGGUGUUGUUAUACGUAUAACAACAAUUGUAACAAAAAUAUUCUUCUAGCAUCUUUUAGAAGUUUCUGGAAUGUUUAAUUCAAUAUUCUCCUUCAAACUAGUGUGGGAUCGCACACACCUAAUUUGUCUUUAAUAUCCAGAUACCUUGAUGAUGAAAGGAGUUUGGUAAAACCAUCAGUUAACUGUUCUCUGA
Molecule: long non-coding RNA, 84005 nt
Filed under: Zostera marina
Lineage: Eukaryota; Viridiplantae; Streptophyta; Magnoliopsida; Alismatales; Zosteraceae
Description: long non-coding RNA (ZMAR_LNC000928)
Source: RNAcentral